GGCACCCAACUUAUCCCAAGUCUCAGUGUUGAUAGAAGAAUCUUGUAGGUUGUCCUCUUGGUCCUCUCCCAUGUCUUGCAUCUUGGCAUCCGGAUCCGCGGAGCAUUUGGAGCUCUGCCAUCUCCCUGAUGGGUGUUGCCAGGACCAACACCACCAGGUCUAGAGCUUCCUGGUGGUCGUGCUCCUCCCGCCAAGUCAGAAUCCUUGGGCGGAGGGUUGGAAGGCCCAGCUCCGAGCACCGCCCGCUCGCCAGCGCGCUUGGGGAGCACCUCACGCUCAACCUUGAUCUGAAAUCCCUCAUUAUUGAACCACACCUCCACAAACCCGUUAAGCUUCUCCGGUGCCUUGCAAGCUAUCUUCAUCCUCACCAGCCCCAACGUGAUGAGGGACAGCUUAUCCACCACAAUUGGUCGACCUAGCAUCCAGAACCCUUCCUUGAUGCGGUCCUCGCACCUGUGCUUCUUAGGGAUGUCGUGCAGCCUCACCCACGUCUCGGGCACGGCCAUCGCCUGCACCUCCUCAUGAAGCAUGUCCCGCACCGUAGCAGUGAUGUCAUUGAUGGACAAGAACAGCUUCCCACUAGACUUAGUCAUAUGUAGCAGAUCUGCUUGAGGAUGUGGAGGUUGAGCUUCCCAGGCUCCGCAGAUAGGAUAGCCGCGUUCUAGAUUCUAGCAUCCACGGGCAAGUCGGCCUCGGCAUCCUCAUCGAACUCAAGACAGAAAAAACCCUCUCCUGAGAUGGCACUGCCCUUGAACUGCAGGUGUAGUUGGCGGCCUCGCGACGGGCAAUUGGCGGAAGCAUGCCCCUCUUCCUUACAGAACAUGCAGAGAGGCUUGUACAUGCACUUGGAUUGAAAGUGGGCCAAGAGCCCACACUUGAAGCACUCGACGUCAGGGGCCUCCUCCAUCGGAAUGGGCUCCUCCGUCAUGCCCUUGGAUGAAGAGGGAAGCGCCAUCUCCAGCGGCACCGCGAGCGCCCGAGGCUUCUUGGCCAGCGGGUCACCGUAGCCCCCACCACAGUUUGGGUGCUCCAUCGGCUUUCUUUCGAGCUCCUGACGCCGUUGACUGGCCUUCUUCUUCUUAUUGCGUUCUUGGAGUUGGAUCCACCAAGGGGGAGGAGGACCCAAUCCCCCUCUCGCCCACCCUGGUCUCGGGACCCAUCGCACUCCUCCCGGGCCUCGCGGCAAUCGCCCGAGCGCUCGCGCAUCGCGUGCUUCGCCUUGUCGCGCGGAUCGCGCUCCCUGCGCCGGUCCGCCUCGUGGUUGGAGAUCUCCAUUGGCCGCUUGUCAGCCCGCCGGUCGCCCAUCACCGCCGCCGCGAAAGACUUGAGAAGAUGGGGAAGGGGAGGAGAGAUCAGGAGGGUGCGGGCGGAGUGAGCGAGGCGCCGCACCUCUCUGGAAGUAGCUGGAAACCCUAAAAUGUCAUGUCCUCUCUUUUGAAAGGUAUUGUGGAACUGCAUCCUCAUUUUCGAUCUCAUGGUUUUAGUUUUCUUUCUCCUAUUUUGCUCUUGCAUGUGUAUCGUAGUUUUACAUUUUCCGCGCAUCAAUGAUUGCAUAGUGUUUAUAAUGAAGGCUACGAAAUUUUGCAUACGUCUAUGCUUUCUCCGAGGCAACUUUGGAAGAAACUAUGAGACGCAGCGGCGGGCCAUCCAUUGUUCCCUGGUACGACAUGCAUUCUAUGUCCUAGACCCAAGGUCGGCACAUGGACUCAGAUGCUGACCGCCUUGCUUUGGGCUGACAAAAUGCUAUUCCAUAACUGGAUUGUUAUACAUGUCGGUUUCGGUCUUACUUAUAUCCAUGACAAAUUUUCAUCAGACAUAGUCGAACAAGCUUGGAUUUGCCCCUCCUAAUGAAGAUAUACGCUCUUGGGCCCCCUCAUGUGAUCCGACUAGAAUAAGCAUGGCCACGCGACAAGUAUUAUGAGAUAAUCCGAUUUCGGCAGUUGAUAUCACGGUACGAGAAAGUGGUCGGUCUAGCACAUGACCGACUCGCCUUGAGCCCGGCAACAUAUAUCGUGAGGCAGAAGGAAUAGAAGCUAGACAUUGUAUAUGUUUGCCAUGUUGGCUUCAUCGGACACUUGAAAUCGACAAGCUUUGCUAGAAGCCACUAUCGACUGGACAAGCAGGAUGCAAUCCGACUCGCGACCAAGUGGAUGAGAAUCUUCGCGCGCUUAAGGGUAUGGACCUGUGAGGCCGGAUCUGACUUCACAAGAUGGAUGUGUUCCGACCAGGAUUUGGAUCUAGGUCAAAUAGACUUUGGGUUUUAGGAUCCAUGCGAGGCCCAUGUGAUGAGCCCGUAAUGGAUGCCUGGAUAUAAUAGAGAUGCAGCACACGAUUUUUGUUGAUCGCUUUUGUGCCGUUAUUAGGGCUUUACAUGUGUUGCAGCUGGCCACACUAGUAGAAAAAGGACCUAAUAUGAGACACAUUAGUGCCGGUUCGAUUUUGAGCCGGCACUAAUGUGUCCAUUAGUGCCGGUUCCAACGGCUAGCCGGCCGUUCUCAUUAGUACCGGUUCAUGGUCAACCUUUAGUACCGGUUUGUGGCACGAACCGGUACUAAAGAAGGUGGUGGUAGUGUGUUGUCAGUCUGGGGCCCGUCCAGCACCUUUAGUACCGGUUCGUGGCACGAACCGGUACUAAAGGUCGACCUACAUAAACCCUUCGUCCACCCGAGCUCACUCUGUUCUUCCCCUUUCCCCUCUCAUCCUCUGUUCUUCCCCUCUUCCUCUCGAGCUCAUCACACAUUUUGCCCAAAAUUUGUCAAGAUUUGAAGGCCCCCAUCCAUUCAAAUGAUCACAAAGGUUAGCAACUUUGUCCUUUCAACUCUCAUUGCUAGAUUAGCUCUUGCAAUGCUUUGUAUAGUUAUUAAUUUGGGAGGAAUUAUAUUUGCUAGUAUUUGAUUUAUAUGCAAUUUGAGGUUAAAAAUAACACUUAGUUUGCAUAUAUAGGUGUGGUUUACUUAGUGUCUUCUAAAUCUCCGUCGUAACCACCGUCGAUCGCCCGCACCGUCCCGUCGCCGGCACCACCUUGUGGUGAGGCUCUUGUUCAUGAAUGUUUUACAUUACCAAAUUGAUGUUUGUGUGAUUUGGAUAUAUAGUUAAUCGUAUAAUUAUCUUACCCGUACGUUGUUUGUUAUACAUAGUGCCAUGGUUUUGAUAUCCGUCCCCGUCGGCCCUCGUCCUUGUUAUAAUUCGGAUGUGGUAUAUUCUCUUUUAAAACUAGUUUUUGCAUUUCGUGUUUAUGACAAAUUAUGCCCAUCAAGUUGACAUAGAUAUUUUUAUCUAGGAGGUAUGUGAACCGGAAAUUCCAACCGACCCUAUUGUCGACAGGUUAAAUUUAGUUGAAAGAGAAAACGAGUAUUUGAAAGAAAAGUUGAAAAUAAUUGAGGGGGAGAAGAUGGAAUUGGAGUUGCAUGUUGCCGAUGUCGUCGAUGAUCACAAGAUCAAGAUGGAGAAAAUGAGGUUGAAGAUUAGAAAGAUUAGAAAAUAUGCCAUUGAUAGUGUGGCUUGGUAUCAUUAUGCUAUUGGAUCAAUUGUUACCUUAGUUGUGAUCUUCAUCGCAUUUGUUGUUGCAUUUAAAUUCUUUAGCUAGAGACUUAUUUGUAUGCUGCAUUUAAUUAAGUGUUGUAUAUGAACUUUAUGUAUGAACUUUAUGUAUGAACUUGUAUUAAUUUAGUCUAUUCGGUGUUGUGUAAUGAAGAUGAGCCGACAAUGGAUGUAUGAUGACCGAUGCUCUCCCGAGUUCAUUAUUGGCGUGCAUACUUUUCUUCUUGCCGCUGAGGCAAACAAGUGGGCGGAUGGUUUUAUGCCUUGUCCAUGUGCUGGCUGUAAGAAUGAUCACAGUUACUCUAUGUCAAGAACCAUUCACGUCCACCUAUUUGAGUCCGGUUUCAUGCCCCACUAUAAUGUUUGGACCAAGCACGGAGAAAUAGGGGUUAUGAUGAAAGACAAUGAAGAAGAAGAGGACGACAACGGCUAUCCUGGCCAUGGGUUCCCUGAAUACAAUGAUACAACAAUGGGGGAAGAAGCUGAGCCGGCAAUGCGGGAAGAAGGUGAAGAAGAGGGAUCAGAUGAGCCCGCUGAUGAUCUUGGUCGGGCCAUUGCCGAUGCAAAGAGAAACUGCGCAAGUGAUCCGGAGAGGACGAAGUUGCAGCGCAUGUUAGAGGAUCACAAGAAAUUGUUGUACCCGAAUUGCGAAGCUGACAAAAAAAGUUGGGCACCACACUUGAAUUGCUGCAAUGGAAGGCAGAGAAUGGUAUAUCUGAUAAGGGAUUUGGAAAGUUGCUGGUAAUGAUAAAGAAUAUGCUUCCAAAGGACAACAAAUUGCUCAAGAGUACGUAUGAAGCAAAGAAGGUUGUCUGCCCUCUAGGGUUAGAGGUGCAAAAGAUACAUGCAUGCCCUAAUGACUACAUCCUCUACCGCGGUGAGUACGAGGAUUUGAACGCUUGCCCGGUAUGCGGUGCAUUGCGUUAUAAGAUCAGUCGCGAUGACCCUGGUGAUGUCGAGGGCGAGCGCCCCGGGAAGAAGAUUCCUGCCAAGGUGAUGUGGUAUGCUCCUAUAAUACCACGAUUGAAACGUUUGUUCCAAAACAAAGAGCAUGCGAAGGCGAUGCGGUGGCACGCAGAAGACCAUAAGAAAGACGGAAAGUUGAGAGUACCCGCUGACAGUUCGCGGUGGAAAAAAAUCGAGAGAAAGUUCUAAGAGGAGUUUGCAGGUGACCCAAGGAACGUAUGGUUUGGUCUAAGCGCAGAUGGCAUUAAUCCUUUUGGGGAGCAGAGCAGCAACCAUAGCACGUGGCCUGUGACUCUAUGUUUGUAUAACCUUCCUCCUUGGUUGUGCAUGAAGCGGAAGUUCAUUAUGAUGCCAGUGCUCAUCCAAGGCCCUAAGCAACCCGGCAACAACAUUGAUGUGUACCUAAGGCCAUUAGUUGAAGAACUAUUACAGCUGUGGAAUGGAACAGGUGUACGUGCGUGGGAUGAGCACGGACAGGAAGAAUUUGACCUAAAGGCAUUGUUGUUGGUGACCAUCAAUGAUUGGCCUGCUCUCAGUAACCUUUCAGGACAGACAAACAAGGGAUACCGCGGAUGCACGCACUGUUUGGAUGAUACCGACAGUAUAUAUUUGGAUAGUUGUAGGAAGAAUGUGUACGUGGGACGUCAUCGAUUUCUUCCGACAAGGCAUCCCGUAAGAAAGAAAGGCAAGCAUUUCAAAGGUGAGGCAGAUCACCGGACGAAGCCUCGCCACCGUACUGGUGCUGAUGUACAUGAUAUGGUCAAGGAUUUGGAGGUAAUCUUUGAAAAGGGUCCUAGCGGAAAACCUGUUCCGAAGGACGCUGACGGACGUGCAUCCAUGUGGAAGAAGAAAUCUAUAUUUUCGGACCUGCCAUAUUGGAAAGACCUAGAGGUCCGCUCCGCAAUCAACGUAAUGCACGUGACGAAGAAUCUUUGCGUGACCCUGCUUGGCUUUUUGGGCGUGUAUGGGAAGACAAAAGAUACACCAGAGGCACGGGAGGACCAGCAACAUAUGCACGGAAAAGAUGGCAUACAUCAGGGUUAGGCCAGCUACGCUCUUACCAAAGAAGAGAAUGAAAUCUUCUUCGAAUGCCUGCUCAGCAAGAAGGUACCAUCUGGCUUCUCAUCGAACAUAAAGGGAAUAAUAAAUAUGGCAGAGAAAAAGUUCCAGAACCUAAAGUCUCAUGACUGCCACGUGAUUAUGACGCAACACCUUCCGGUUGCAUUGAGGGGGCUUCUACCGGAAAACAUUCAAUUAGCCAUUGUGAAGCUAUGGGCAUUCCUCAAUGCAAUCUCUCAGAAGGUAAUCGAUCCAGAAAUCGUACCAAGGUUACAGAAUGAUUUGGUGCAAUGUCUUGUCAGUUUCGAGUUGGUGUUCCCACAAUCCUUCUUCAACAUCAUGACGCACGUCCUAGUUCACCUUUGUGAAGAGAUUAACGUUUUGGGUCCUGUAUUUCUACACAAUAUGUUCCCCUUUGUAAGGUUCAUGGGAGUCUUGAAGAAAUAUGUUCAUAACCGUGCUAGGCCAGAAGGAAGCAUCUCGAAGGGCCAUGAAAAUGAGGAGGUCAUUGAGUUUUUUAGUUAUAUAAAUAUUAGAAUUGUUAUGGAAAUGUUAGUUAUACAAUCAGGAAAUUUUAGAAUUAGUUUUAGUUAGAUGAAUUAAAUUAAUGUCAAAUUGUUAGAAUUUGCAUAUAUAUAGAAUUUUAGUUAUCACAAUCCAAUCACUUAAAAAAUGUUACUUUUUACGGGGAUAUAGUAUUUGUUCUCGACGAUAUGCCCGGCCUGCAUCCUCGCCGUCGACCCGUUCACGACGACGUCCUGCUUCAGGGGACCCAUGUCCGGGACUGGGCUCCGCCGGGCUGGCACUGGGAGGUGCUACCUGGAGGGGCGCGCCGCUUGGUGAGGAACCCGACCUCGGGUCCCGUCGUCGACCCUGAUCUUCUUUGGUGGCGUUCGCGUGGGCCACAUUCGGUGCAGAGGCAGCCGGCCCCGCCGGAGGUGGUGCGUCGCCGUGUCAGGGAGGAAGAUGAGCACGUCCAUCGCUACAUGGCUGCUAUGGACGACGUCAGGUUCUUCACUACUUGGCGGGUUCUUUGGGCAGAUGACCAGAGAUAUGAUCAUGUGAUGGUUCCUUCUCUUUGGGUGUGCACCGCCCGCGCCCCAGGAACCGCGAGUGGCGCCCUAGAUUCUUCUGUAGUACUCGAUGUUUAUUAGGUACCUAGCCAGUGAUGUAUUCGAUAUAUAAUAUUCGAGACGAUGUAUUCGAGAUUAUAUAUAUUAAGACGAUGAUGUAUUCGAGAUUAUAUAUUCGAGACAACGUAUUCAAGAUUCAGUUUUUCCUUAUUGAUUAAUUGCAUCCAUGCAUUGUAAUUUGAAUACUAAAUUGUUUUAUAUUUCUUCUGUAUUAGUAAAGUAAAAGCUAUGGCGGACAAUACCGGCAGAGAGAGAGAAGAGGAAUUGUUCGACAUCAUACGCAGCCCUCACAGGCUAGAUGAUCUGAAUGAAGCAGAUGACGGCUCCCAAUAUCUGAACAAUACCGGAGAGGGUGAUGAAAAGAUAUUCGAUCUCGACGACCGAGCUGAUGAAGUCAUGAACUAUGAUUAUGAUUAUGAUGACACAGACAAUGUUUGUGAUGACACAGACAAUGCUGAUCUUCAAAUAACAAAGACUACCGGUAAGGUAUAUUUAUAUAAGCAUGCAUCAUGGUGAUCAUCACAUGUUUUUUUAUUGAAGAUAUAUUAACGAAUCGAUCUUUCUUCUUUCAGCCCUCCGGAUCGAGCAAAUCUGCUUCUACAGACAGCAAGACAAAGCGAGGCCCGGGCAGAAUGUUGAAGGAUGGUGCAAAGUACCAAAUCGAAUCCAUCAAACUUAGUGGUGAACCCCUCACGCCUAAGAACGUUGCGGACAGGUGGACUCGUCAGUGCGGAGUUCUUGUGAAGGACAAACUCCUGAUCUCCAUUCAAGAAUGGAAAGAGCCAAAGACUAAACGUCCAGGUGUUACUUGGGUCGACCGCAGAGCCAAAGAAGACCUUUUGAAUCUCUAAUGGAACAUUUCACCCUAUCAGAUCAUUUCACUGAAGUAGAUGUGAAGAAAGUCAAGGCUGCUGCUCUUAAGAAGAUGGCAAUUGCAUUCAACACCCACAAGAAAACUGUAUGGGCCAACUACCUCGCUAAUGAAAGGAAGACUCCAGAUUUCAAGGGAACACUGGAGAAGCAAAGAGAGCACUGGGACAAUUUCGUGACCUUCAAGGAUUCAGAAUUAUCUAAGGAACAAUCGAUGAAAAACAAGGCAAAUGCCGCAAGAAAGAUGCAGUUCCAUAAGCUGGGUCCAGGUGGCUACGCGGUGGGAUUGCCUAAGUGGGAUAAGUCUGAGCAAGAGAUGGAGGAUGCAGGGGUCACUCCGGUUACUAGGAACUGGCCCCCCAGGUGCAGAACUUGGUUCUAUGCGCAUGGGGGAGCGUUGGACCAGAAGACAGGCGAAGUUUCACGGAAGGCAAGUCUAAAAGGAGACGAACAAAAGAUAAUUGACGCAAUAGAAGAAGCUUGAAGGGGGGAGUUCACGCCCAAUAGAGAGAACGACGAGCUUACGCGCGCCCUGGGAAAUCCUAAACACCCGUGAAGAACACGAGGCAAGGGCGUUAUUCCCUGGUAUGAGGGCUUUUCGGACUGGAAUGACGACUACAGGUCCCGUGCAAGAAAGAAGAUGGAGGAUGAGAAGAAGAGGAAGUUGGAGGAGGAGCAGAGGAAGCAGGACGCGGAACGCCUUCAAGGCCUAGAAGCAAGGCACGCGGACCUGGCACUCAAAUUCCAGCAGCAGCAGCAGAAGAUCGACUCACUUAGCCAGGAAAGGGGGUCUCAGCAGCAAAGCAGCAAGCGGAUGAUCGUCCAGCAUUGGAUAGCACCGUCCCAUCCAUGCCGAGAAGCAGCGUUGGUUCUACCCCGGGAGACACACUGCUGGAUACAUACCCUGUGGAUGACAUCAUAGAGAACACUAACUGUGAGCUACACUCCAAAAUGAAGAACAUAUCCAUGAAGGUGGCGAACGACGUUUCUUUUCCAGUUACCCCCAAAGCAACCUACCAUUGCAUCCCGAUUCCAGAGGGCUAUGCUCGUGUCAUGGUUGAUGAAGUGGUGGACCCAUAUUCGGGGCUAACGCUUGACAUUCCUGGAGGUGAAGACGAGCGCACACCGGGAGAGGCCAUACAUCGUAUCAUCCUAUGGAGAAAGAAUUGCAUCAUCUUUCGAAGUCAACCGACACCGCGUCGUCUGUCGACUCCUCCUCGAAGUCCGCCACUGAGUAAGCAGACUCCCGCUCCUCCAAGUCCACGAACGCGUGAGACGACUCCUCCUCGAAGUCCGCCACCUCCUCCAAGUCCCCAAACGUGUGAGCUGACUCCUCCGGUUUCAAGUCCGGCACAGCGUCAUGCCACUUCUCCGGUUUCAAGUCCGGCACCGUGUCAGGCCACACCUCCUGCUUCAAGUCCGGCACAUCGUCAGGCCACUUCUCCUGGUCCAACUCCACGUCAGCCGUCUCCGUCGUCUCAGCAAUCGCAGAGGAGACAUGCUGCAGCUUUGGUGCAUAGCGGUACGAGUCGAGGUAGUUCAGGAAGUACAGGCGGAGACAAGCGAUAUAAAUAUGGUCCAAGCCUCACUCCUCUUCCUCAGAGGCCUUACGACAUGACUAAGGAGCAAAACACAGCCAUAGUGCAAGCCCAAGUGGAUGCCCAUUUUGGACCGAAACCGGCACCGCCGCUAAAGGAGAAAGUGCCUGAGAAAGUAAUUGACCACUUCAUUCCUAUGGCUAGAGAACCAGCUCCCAAGCCUGUUGACUCGGACUAUGAGCGCCAAAUCAGGAAGGCACAUCGAGCACGAGUACAGAAGGAAGCGAGCUCAAGCUCGAGCCAACAAGCAGCUGGCAAAGAAUGUGGGAGAACCGUUCCCCAGUUGGGAGAACAGGCGGCGCAAGUGAUCCCCCCGCUUGUUGUGCCAACAACACAUGAGAGGAGUAGUACGCGCGCCAAAUAUUAUUAUGGGCAAACCAUUAGCGUUCCCCAGCAUGGCGAUGUGGUAAUAACCGAGGAUCAUAUAAUGCAGGCUCAAAUGCUCAAUAUCUCUGUUGGACAACUCCUCGAAAUCGAGCCCAUGCCUACGCUUAAAGAAUCGGAAAUAGCAUGGCAAUAUGUCCGGGGCAAACCUUUGGUCCAUCCAGACAAGGUCAAGGACCUCCCAACGAGAAUGUAUCAAUUGCAUCAAUGGUACAUGAACAUUACCAAGAUUUCCAAUCGAGAGUCCCUCAAGGUGAAUGUAAAGCAUGAGCAUUAUUACCAUGAGAAAGCUCUGACCAUUGAGUAUUCAGAACUAUUUCAGUUAUACAAUCAAGACGCACUCGACAAGUCUAUCGUCAGUUUCUAUUGUCUGUAAGUGAUUUCUUUCUGUAAUUUAAGUCUCAGGCUAGUUAUGUAGUGAUAAUUUUGAUCAAUCAUUACAUGUAAUUAUCCUCACUAUAUUUUUUUCUGUGGUAUUAUAUGCAGGAUGAAGAUGUAUGAAAUGAAAAAAGCUGGACGCUAUGGCGUUGGGUUCAUUGACCCAAAUACCAUUAAUCAGGACAUAUGGCAGAUUUAACAUUGUCAAGAUGCUGUAGAGGAAAGCAUGCUAGAGUUCUUGAAGCGCCUCAAUAGCAAUGAAGAUAUACUACUUCCUUACAACUUCCCGUGAGUUACACUGUCUUGUACUACAAAUUCUGUUUUUGCUUACUAGCUAGCUAGAUGUUAAUAAUUAAGUGUAUACGGUUUACUGUAGUUGAUUAAUUUUAUGCACAUGCCCGCUUAAUUAAGACAUGCAAACGUGUGCGUAUGCAGUUGGCACUGGGUCUUGUUAGACAUUAAAGUUGAGGAAGGAAAAGUUGAAUUACUGGACUCACUAACUAAAGAAGAUAAAGACUACACCAUCGUGAAGGGGAUAGUCAACAGGUAAUUUCAAUCAUUAUUAACUAUAUCUCGGCCUAUUAAUUAUUAGUUCGUCAUUUCCUGAUAUGAACUAUUUAAUAACCCAUUUAUUAAUUUUCUUUGCCGGCGGGCAGGGCAUGGGCAAAGUUCAUCAAGGUGACUCCAGGCACAUGGCCAAAAAAGUUGUGUUGGCAUCGACCCAAGGUAAGUAAUUAAGUACUACUAGCUAGCUACCAUCUCUUUAAUUCUUGUUUCAAUAUCAUCAAUUAAUUAUCAUGCUUGAUUAAUUAUUAUCUGAUUCAAUUCCAUUCUCGUAAAGGCCCUGAGGCAGGCGUCGGGGAAUAAUCUGUGUGCAUACUACGUUUGCGAGAACAUUCGCAUGAUGACGUGCGAAAGGAGCAGAUCUGAUAGACAGGACUGGGUACGUUUGUCAGAACACUAUUCACACCAUUAUCGAUAUCUAGUCACACAACUAACACACAUGCAUAUAUUGAUCUCCUUAAUAGUUCAGAUCGGUGCGGGAUAAGCUCCUACCAUCGAACCGCAUACUAGCACUUCAAGAGGAAAUAGCCGGAUUUUUGCUCGACCAGGUCAUAGACCCCAAAGGAGAAUACUAUUACGCGCUACCGCCCCCAUGAACCACUUGUCAUCGUGCUCCUAAGGCACCAAAGGCAACAUAUAUAUGUAGGAGAAAUUGUGUAUAUGUAUAUAGAUGUGUAUGUGUGAAUAAUUAAUGGUGUUGGUUUGUGAGACAUUCGAUGAUAUAUAUANNNNNNNNNNNNNNNNNNNNNNNNNNNNNNNNNNNNNNNNNNNNNNNNNNNNNNNNNNNNNNNNNNNNNNNNNNNNNNNNNNNNNNNNNNNNNNNNNNNNNNNNNNNNNNNNNNNNNNNNNNNNNNNNNNNNNNNNNNNNNNNNNNNNNNNNNNNNNNNNNNNNNNNNNNNNNNNNNNNNNNNNNNNNNNNNNNNNNNNNNNNNNNNNNNNNNNNNNNNNNNNNNNNNNNNNNNNNNNNNNNNNNNNNNNNNNNNNNNNNNNNNNNNNNNNNNNNNNNNNNNNNNNNNNNNNNNNNNNNNNNNNNNNNNNNNNNNNNNNNNNNNNNNNNNNNNNNNNNNNNNNNNNNNNNNNNNNNNNNNNNNNNNNNNNNNNNNNNNNNNNNNNNNNNNNNNNNNNNNNNNNNNNNNNNNNNNNNNNNNNNNNNNACAUACGAGAAAAUCUAUUUAUAUAUAUGCAUAACGUGUACAAUUUGUAGUAUCGUGAAAUACCAGCAAACAAAAAAAAUUGAAUGGAAAAUAAAUCAAAAAACCACCCCAAAUAUUUAGUACCGGUUGGUGUUACCAACCGGUACUAAUGCCCUACGCGCACCCGGGCCUGGCUUGUGCCACGUGGUGGCACUUUAUCGCCGGUUCGUGAUGAACCGGUACUAAGGGGGGGGGGCUUUAGUCCCCACUCUUUAGUGCCGGUUGGCAAACCGGCACUAAAGGCCGUUACGAACCGGUACUAAAGCCCGGCUCUGCACUAGUGCCACCUCUACACGCCGCUUGAUCGUGCGUCCGGAACUAGCUGUCCGCCGCACUAAAUUCCUCCUGCACGUGCGGAUAUCGUUAGAGGCAAUGCAAUUGCGCUGCUCUAGCAAACUUAUUUGUAGGAUCCAACGACCAACUGUAUGAGGGAGGUCGGCGACGAGGCAGAGACGACUCCGAUUACGUGCUGCUUCUGACUCUUCUUCCACUUCAAGGACUGUGUGUCAUAGUGAUAACCUCAUGAUCUAUCUCCUAAGCAUGUUCCUCGAUGUCCUGCGCGCCAGGAAAUUUUGCUAUGCAAUAGUUGCAAGCCGCGUAGCCCAAGAUCCCUGUUGUCCUCUAUUUGACCAAGCUUGCCAAUUGCUCUGUCCAGGCAUGUCUUCUAGACCAGGCUCUCCCAAAGACUCCUCUUCCUCUACUGGCAGCCUAGACACGACUACAACCUCGCACUCACAGGUAGAAAAAGACACCUCCAGAUCCAGUUAUUUUUUUUUCAGGGCCUCCAGAUCAGUUAGGUGAGGGUCGGAGGAAAUAUCAACCUUUUCCCCUACAAAAUCCGACUCAACCCCCGGCAGCUAGCAGCUGGGCCAGCUCAAUUACAACCAACUGGCUAAACUUGAUUCUUAAUGCAAGGCAUAUACAAUGGUUCUAUCUUAAGAAUGCCACGUAGGAUAAAUGAUGAGAUGAAGGAGAGAGAAAUCAUAAGAAAAGGCUUGUCUUCUUUUAUUUAAGAGAAAACAACAAAUGAUCUCAUAACAUAAGGGCAUGUAUAAUGGUUGAUAAGAUAGUCUUAUUUUAAGUCUUGCAUGUAAUUUAGAGAUAACAAAAAACGAUGUCUACAAUGAGUCUUUUCUUAGCCUUAUCUUCAAUAACUAGCUAAUCCUAAAAACAUGGUGAGACAUAUUGUGCUAAGAGAUCAUCUCUUGUCUUCUCUUAAAUAAGAGAAGACAAGCCUUUUCUUAUGAGUUUUCUCUCCUUCACCUCAUCAUUUAUCCUACAUGGCACUGUUAAGAUAGCACCAUUGUACAUGCCCUAAUAUGUCUUACCAUGUUUUUAGGAAUAGCUAGUUAUUGAAGAUAAGGCUAAGAGAUGACCAUCUUAGACAUAUUUUUUUUGUCAUCUGUAAAUUACAUGCAAGACUUAAGAUAAGACUAUUCUUUUAACCAUUGUACAUGCCCUAAAUCAUCAGGCCUACUUUCCAUAUCAGGAAGUGUAUCUCAAUUUUUUAUAUUAGACUAGCACUUUUCAUAUCAGAAAGUGUACUACUAUUAGAAGCAUCACAAUUCUCAUCAAUAUAUUCUUCUAAGAAAUUAUUAACUGGAUUUUUCACCCCAAUCCAUAUUAAUUGUCGUUGAUUUAGUAUAACUUUAUAUUAAAUCAACAAUAAUUAAUAUGGAUUGGAGGGAAUAUCCCAGUCCACAUUAGUAUCUAGAUGAUCGGGUGUCGAUUGUUUUUUGAGAGUAUGGAAGUUGUUUUCAGUGUCAAAGUUGUCAUCCCCUUCAAUUCCCAAAUAGAAGUUGCUUAUCAUAUAAUAUAUAAAUUAGCCGCCAUGGGAGUCAAAGAUUUCAAAGACCCCAAAUCAGAAUAAAUUUCUAUCGGAUGAUUACUCCUCCAUCCAGGUGAAUCAACAAAAGCCAAAUCCUAAACAUCGUCAGGUAUAUUUCUAAAAUUAUUCUUAUUAGAAAAUUUGCCAGUUUUAACGAACAGACUCUUAACAUAAUCAUCAUUUUUAAAAGAUUUUUUACAUUGCUCGGUUCGUCGAAUUCGAUGAUGGCAACUCUUCUUCUUUUCACAAUCCACUGCAUUAAUAUGUGAAAAGAAAAUGAGGUAACAAGAGGGGGGAAACUGCAUACCAGGUCAAAAAGAUCCAGCAAGCUCGCCAGAAUCUUCGUCGGAGACAUCCUGACAAGCAUCUAGAAGAUACUGCCGGAAAAACGACUAGCCACAACUUUCGUUGGUGGCGCGCCAUUUUUCAUCAACGAAGCACUAUAUAUUUCAAAUAGUGCUGGCGUUGGCCAAACUGAUAGUGCCGGUGUGUCAAUUUCUGGUAAUGUCGGUACUAUGUGGGCCCAGCUGUCAUGAAUAGUUGCAAGAUACUGCUGGUGUGCGCUUUAUAAUAACGCCAUAGAUACGUGACCUAGUGUUGUCGUGCCACCGUUUGGGACGCCAGCACUAAGUUUUGCCUAUAUAUAGUGUUUGCAGCCCUUCUUUCUCAAAUACAUUCAUUUCCAUUCUUCACAAAAAUCUACUCCCUCGUAUUAGCUGCUUUGUUGACAAUGGACCCACCGGAGCUUGACGAAUCGGCACGAGCCCCAUGUGUGGGCCCACAACGGCGGGGCGUGUCGAAGGUUUGAGACUCCGCCGCUUUGGCCAAGCUCUCUUCUGGCCCCGACAUCUAUGACAUGAGCUCACCAGGACCAAUACAGUCUGCCCUAUCCGGCGAAUCAUGCCCGUGCAGCGCGACGUCUGUUCGAUCCGGUAGCUAUGCCACCGGCACCAAAGCUGCCGCGAAUCGAGCGAGGGCACCUGUGCUGAUUUGCGGCUGUCGACGCCCUACUGAUAAGCAUAUGUCGCACAUGGAACCGAAUCCAAAGCGAGAGUUCUACAUCUGCGCUAAAUGUUGAAAGGUAAUAACACAUAAAAUACUUCUUAUAUAUUCCUGCUAAUUUGCACAAUUCAACUAUAUAUAUGUGUGUGUGUGUGUGUGUGUGUGUGUGUGUGUGUGUGUAAAAUACCUCUUAAUCUAACAGAAAAAAAGUUACGGGGCUUUUAAGAUUUGGAGGCAAAAAAAUUCAUCAAAUUUCCGUUUUUUUUGAAUUUUUGUUAAAUCUGGUCAAACUAUGGUCAAACUACUUAUUCAAGAAGUAUUAGUGUUACUAAAUAAUUAUUCAAGAAUAUUAGUGUUACUAAAUAAUUAUUUUAGUUUUUUUGAAUUUUGGUCAAAUCUGGUCAAACUAUGGUCAAACUGUGGUCAAACAGUGGUCAAACUAAUUAUUCAAGAAAUAUUAGUGUUACUAAAUAUAAGUGUUAUUUUUUAGAACGGUACUUUCAAACUCAAACAGUGAAAUAUGUGACUUCAUGCUCAAGUUAAAUUCCUGAGGUUAAUAGGAUUGACAUCUUACUAUUGUUAGGAAAACAACAAGUGCAGACUUGGAAAUGAGGGAGAAUAGAACCCAGAAGUUAAGCGUGCUCAGGCUGGAGUAGUGAGAGGAUGGGUGACCGUCCAAGAAGUUAGAUGAUGAGGGGUGAUUAGAGGUUAAAUUGAGAAGUGAUCAGGGGUGAUUAGAGAUGAGAGGUUAAAAUAAUUCAAAAAUUUGAAAAUCAAAAAAUAUUCCAAAAAUAAAUUUUUAAAAAAAAUCAUAAAAUUUCCUUUCGUACGGGUUGGUGUUACCAACUGGGACUAAAGGUGGACCUCCAGGCAGCGGCCACGUGAAGAGCCUUUAGUCCCGGUUCGUGUAAGAACCAUGACUAAAGGGGGGACUAAAUGCCCUUAUGAACCGGGACUAAAAGCCCUUUUUCUACUAGUGCUAGUGUACCUUUAUUGUAGUUCUAUGUAGUGUACUUAUAGUGACAGAAUUUAAUAUAGUUCUAGACUAUGAUUUUAGUGUAGUUGUAGUGUACGUUUUAUUACAUUGUAGAUUGUAGGUUUUGCAGGUACUUGUUAAUAUAUGCACCAUCACAGAUGGCUCCGAAGUUUCAUCAUGUGCGACCAAAGGAAAAUAAGUACUAUGCCAUCAUUAGGAAGGACAAUGUUGUCCAUGAUCUUGGCCAUUAGGGCACCUCGAAGUUAGUUGUGUGUGCCUAUGAUGCCAGGGCGGUAGAGUUCUUUCAAGAAGGGUGAUUCUGAACUUCCCUGAGUGUCGUGAGUACACGAAGUUCCUCGCGCCAGACAGCAUGAGGAUGUGCAGUAGGGCUGAGGAGAAGGCGAACUAACAGGCCGAGAUGCAGUUCUUCGACCCAUUGGUGAGCGAGUUUGCAAGAGAUAACAAACUCGUGGAGCCCAUUAAAAUGAUGCUACUUCAGUAUUCAGUCAAGAAGAGCGCUGAGGAGGAUCUCAUAGACUGGGAUGCCUUGGAGCAUGAGGAGGAAUGUCAACAGGGGUAACAUCAUAGGUCCACUAGGCACGACCACGAGGCCGGUCCCUCUGGCCACUAGCUUAAUUACCGUGCUACCUAUUUCGUAUGAACUGUUUAACUUUAUGUAUAUUUUAUGUUUGAACUACGCAUGGUUUGUUGAACUGUUUAAUUACAAGUAUGUGUUAAUAUGUAGAUGGUUGGAUAGCGCUAGUUCGUACUAACUUCUUAUGUUGCGUUAUAUCUAUAUGCAUCUGUUAUGUAUGUUAUUUUUCUCAAGUUGAUGAAAGUAGUAAAUGGAUGCCCCAUGUGAGACCUAUAGUUCUGUGAGAUGCCAAAGGAAUAAGAUGUUCUUCAUAGAUCUGUUGAAUGACUUCCUCACUAGGACGAUAUAUAUGUUUAGUUCAAGAUGUUCUGAUUGAUGAGUUUCAUAUGUGAUGUAUACGUUUGCAUCGAAAAUUGUCUAACUAGCUGGUCCUUUAUUUUAAUUUUGCUCAAAUCAUCCCUUCUAGGGCAAGGCGUGACUUCUUAGAGAAGUUUCGUGUUCCAGUAGAUGCCACCAUCACAAUCCAGUUCACCAUCAUGAAGAUGCUGACGGCCCAACAAUUCGAUUGUCUUUUCACCAACAAGGCAAACCGCACCUAUUUCGGUUGAUUUGGUUGAAUAGCCCUUGCAACUGCUUGCGAGAUGGAAGCUGAGAGAGAGCCACGUUCUACCUCGACUACGACCAUGAAGAGAUCAUGGUCUACUACAGGCUUGCUGUCAGCAACAAUGGUUCACUUACUCCGGACUAUGACCCUGACUCCGCCCGCCAAAAAGUCCUAGUUAGCUAGUUGGCAUGCAUGGAAUAUCUCAUGUUAUUAUCACCUCUAUUUGUUUGAACUUGUACAUUCAUGUGUGUUACUUUGCGUACUUUGUUGAACUAUAUCAAUAAGUGCAUUGUUGGAAUUAAAUGUUGUUAUUGGGUCUAUUUAUAGUUGAUUUAUUUACUGUUCUUAAACUGGAUUAUGCUGUCAUUUAGGUCGCGAUCGUCGUUGUAUAGCUUUUAUUUACUGGCGUCGCGACAACAUGGAACGCCAGAAUUGAUGAAUAUUAGUGUUGGCGUUGUCCACGUGGCACGUCAUUAUCAUCCAAAAUACUGUUGGCAAAGGGUACAACCCCAGCGCUAAUUUUAAACAAUGGCGCCAUAUUGAUGGCGUCGAGUGUCCAUGUGACCAAGGCUGUUGUUGGCACGCCAUAGCUAGGCUUUUCUCCAAUAGUGUGGCUACCAGGAAGGCCUCAAAGUUUAGAUCUAGCUUGGGGCAUCGCAUGCAGCUGUGGAGCGGCGCACCAUCGGCAUCUGAUGUGAUGUAGAGAGCGAUAGGGCCCUUUCGCUCUCUCCCGACCCACUAGGGUUCCUCCGCCGCCGUCGCCGCCCUAGCUAGCUCCUUCCCGCCGCCGUAGGCCACCGGGCGUGCGCCCCCAAUCUAGUACCACCCCCUCUUCCCCCUCCCCCAUCCCGCGACCCGCACCGUCCCGCGGCGGCCGGGCCGUGCCCCACGUCUCCCGCCCCUAGCCCCUCCUUCCCUCGUUCCUCCCGCCGUCGCCGGUGUGCUACGCCGGCCCUUGGCCAGGCGGCCUUGGUGGCGGCGGGCCGCUGGCCUUUCCCCUCCUGGUCUUGGCUGACGUGGGACAACCUUGGCCCAGGUGGUGCUCCUCGGCGGCGACGGUCUGGCGCGGCGGCGGGUCUUCCCUGAUGCAGCGCGGGUGGCCAAGGUGGUAGUGGAGCUGCCAUUGGUGGCUGGGCAGCGAUGGCGGUGCUCCGGCCCUCCAGGUCCAGAUCUGGGCCCUUCGGGCCCGAUGUGGGUCAGGGCAGGCCUGCCUCAUGGCCUCUGGUUGGCCUGGUGAGCGGCUCGCGACGGAGAUGGCAGCGAUGACACCACACUGUUGCAGCGUGGCGAUGGGAGCUUCAUAGGCCUGUAUGUGUCUGGCCGAGCUUAUGGGCUGUUAGAGGGUAGCGGCGGCGGUGGCCUACGUGCAGCAGCACGGCAGCGGGGACUUUACGAGCCUCCCAGGCUCGCCCGGGCCUUUUGCCUGGUGUGUCCCUGCUGCUGUUUCCGGUCGACACCCGACGACGUCCUCCAGGUGGCGACGUUGCUGCCGCCCUCCGGUUCCAAUGGCUCGGUGUGCUCUUGUCGUUGCAUCUGGACGGCUACCGUAUAUGAUGGUGGAGGUUGUUCCCUCCAGCGUGGUUGUGAUCCUAUCGGACCUUGUCUACGGCUGCUUCGUCUCGGGCUGACUGGCUUUGCUACGUUGGCCAUGGUGAGACGACGAUGGUGACUGCAAGGCCGUGGUGGCGUAUGUUGGUGGAUGGCAUGUUUGGUGGAGAGCCUAUGAUUGUUCGGGAGGUGGGAUUUUGGGGGUCGGGAGAAAUCCUUGUCAUUUUGACACCGACACGGUGACACUUGCUAGUGUCAUCCCUCCUUCCCGGAGGGCGUCGGGUGUACCUCUUCUCGACCCUCGGAGCGUACCGGGGGAAACCCUAGGACCUGUCCGGGCAGCAGUGUUGCCGUCAUCACUGUCCUUCUUGGAGGUGCUGCUUGGUACGCGAUGAAUCAGAGUGCUAGGAUCGCGGUGGGAAUACUUCGGAGAGGACGCAGCGGCUACGAGUCAUUUUCUGGUUGAUCCGCCGGUGUUGCCAUUGAAGGAAAUAUGCCCUAGAGGCAAUAAUAAAGUUAUUAUUUAUUUCCUUAUAUCAUGAUGAAUGUUUAUUAUUCAUGCUAGAAUUGUAUUAACCGGAAACAUGAUACAUGUGUGAAUACAUAGACAAACUAAGUGUCACUAGUGUGCCUCUACUUGACUAGCUCAUUAAUCAAAGAUGGUUAUGUUUCCUAACCAUAGACAUGUGUUCUCAUUUGAUUAACGGGAUCACAUCAUUAGGAGAAUGAUGUGAUUGACUUGACCCAUUCCGUUAGCCUAGCACUUGAUCCUUUAGUAUGUUGCUAUUGCUUUCUUCAUGACUUAUAUAAAGUUCCUACAACUAUGAGAUUAUGAAACUCCCGUUUACCGAAGGAACACUUUAUGUGCUACCAAACGUCACAACGUAACUGGGUGAUUAUAAAGGAGCUCUACAGGUGUCUCCAAACUUACAUGUUGAGUUGGCAUAUUUCGAGAUUAGGUUUUGUCACUCCGAUUGUCGGAGAGGUAUCUCUGCGCCCUCUCGGCAAUGCGCAUCACUAUAAGCCUUGCAAGCAAUGUAACUAAUGAGUUAGUUACGGAAUGAUGCAUUACGUAACGAGUAAAGAGACUUGCCGAUAACGAGAUUGAACUAGGUAUUGGAUACCGACGAUCGACUCUCGGGCAAGUAACAUACCGAUGACAAAGGGAACAACAUAUGUUGUUAUGCGAUUUGACCGAUAAAGAUCUUCGUAGAAUAUGUAGGAGCCAAUAUGAGCAUCCAGGUUCCGCUAUUGGUUAUUGACCGGAAACAGUUCUAGAUCAUGUCUACAUAGUUCUCGAACCCGUAGGGUCCGCACGCUUAACGUUACGAUGACAGUUUUAUUAUGAGUUUAUAACUUUUGAUGUACCGAAGGUUGUUCGGAGUCCCGGAUAUGAUCACGGACAUGACGAGGAGUCUCGAAAUGGUCGAGACAUAAAGAUUGAUAUAUUGGAAGCCUAUAUUUGGAUAUCGGAAUCGUUCCGGGUGAAAUCGGGAUUUUACCGGAGUACCGGGGGUUACCGGAACCCCCACGGGGGUUAAUGGGCCUACAUGGGCCCUAAGGGAGAAGAGGAGGGCCGGCCAGGGCAGGCCGCGCGCCCCCUCCCCCCUAGUCCGAAUAGGACAAGGAAGGGGGGGCCUUUCCUCUUUCCCCUUCCCCCUUUCCUUCUCCUACAAGGCAAGAGGGGGGAGUCCUACUCCCGGUGGGAGUAGGACUCCUCCAGGCACACCCCUAGGGGGCCGGCCGCACCUCCCCCUCCCCCCUUUAUAUACGGGGGCAGGGGGGCACCCCAAGACACACAAGUUGAUCUUCGUGAUCAUUCCUUAGCCGUGUGCGGUGCCCCCCUCCACCAUAUUUCACCUCGGUCAUAUCAUUGCGGUGCUUAGGCGAAGCCCUGCGUCGGUAGAACAUCAUCAUCGUCACCACGCCGUCGUGCUAACGGAACUCAUCCCCGACCCCCUGCUGGAUCGGAGUUCGGGGAUCGUCAUCGAGCUGAACGCGUGCUGAACUCGGAGGUGCCGUACAUUUGGUACUUGGAUCGGUCGGAUCGUGAAGACGUACGACUACAUCAACCGUGUUGUCAUAACGCUUCCGCUUUCGAUCUACGAGGGUACGUGGACAACACUCUCCCCUCUCGUUGCUAUGCAUCACCAUGAUCCUUUGCGUGUGUGUAGGAAUUUUUUUUUUGAAAUUACUACGUUCCCCAACAGGCAUUGUUUUCUUCGUCUUUUCUUUUGGGCGUAGUUGUGCUGUUUGCCCCAGCAAUGGAUCUCAUAUUGUACCGUGUGGUUACUAUAUUAAUAUAGCGGGACGAAAGCAUAUUUCGAGAUAUAGGGACCGUCAUCGAGUCAGUUUGUUAGGUCCACACCCGCUGUUGUCGUUCUCUCCUCCUCGCCUGGUGGAGGACCGCCUCUUCGUUUUGAAUCACCGUCAGCAUGCAAUGGGAGCCUGGUGCCAAUACCGCCAUCACCAGCCUCACCCGCCAGAGCGAGAGGGGUAGUGGUGAGGGAUUUGAAUGCCACCCACGUCAAUUGUUGUGCAGGAUUCGCUAAAUUCGCUUUGUCCAUAGCCCAAAGCAGCACUUCCAUCGGGUAUUUCAUCACUCCUCCACGUUCACUUCCUCUGCCACUGCCAUGGACAUCAGAUUCAGCUUGCUCUUGGUUGCGUAGCACGAGUGGAUUUCCCGAAAGCUCGCAAGCUUCCACGCAUCCCUGCUCGUAAUCAGCGCCAUCCUCUCCUCUAUUGCCUCCAUCAAGAUCCACGCAUGCACCACACUAGACCAGAAGGCCUCCUCGACCUGUGCUAGGUGACACAGAAAAUGUACCAUAAUGUAACCCUACGUAGGGAUGAAAAUAAAGUGGAAACUUUCCGCUUUUCCGCCGGAAAAAUGAAAACAGAGAAGAAAUGUGGAAACGGAAAUAGAAACUUGCAAAAUGUAAAUGGAAAUGAAAAUUUUUAUGCCGAAACGGAAAUAAAAAUGGAACGGUAAUUUCCAGUGGAACAGACGUGGAAACGCAACUUUCCGUUUUCGUGAAUAUGGAAUUUCUGUUUUUUACUAUAGGCCUAUGGCUGCUUUGUAGCCUUACCAUCAAACAACACACAACGACCAACUAAGCAGAAUGGAUCGUUUGAGGCUCAACUUCUACUACCACACACGUACUCAACUAGACCCUGCACACAAUUGUCCUAUACUACUACGAUACUAUGGUAAGUAGCUGACAUAAUCAUAUUAUUUUGUAGCCAUGAUAACAUAUCUUUAAAAUUGUGUGUAUUUUGCUAUGAUUCAAGGGGUUUUUAAGUUCCGGUAAACGACCAUUUAUGUUUCUGUGUCCGCUCUGUAUUUGCGCGAUGUUCAUUUCCGGUAGUAUCCGUUUCCGUAUUCAUUUUUGUGAUUUCUGUAUUUGUUUCCGUUUCUGUAAGAAACUAUGAAAACAAAUGUAGUAGCACCCAGUUCUGUCCGUUUUCGCUCCGUUUUCAUCCCUAACCCUACGCAACCGCUUUUCCUGCAUGACACACACGGUAAUCCACAACAUUGCCUUGGUCAUCGAGCAACACCAGUUGUUGAACCCCCGCUCAGCGGAGGAGGACUGCACGAGAAUAAACCAGCAGGUUGGCUGCACAAAGGUCAGGGAUGAAUCGCACCACCCAUCGAGAGUGUGGCGUCAUUUACUACUCCCUCCGUUCAUUUUUAUAAUUGUUUCAGAGAACUAAAAUUGAGCUAUUUUGCACAUUGUCCGAAGUUUCUACAACACCUUAUAAAAGUGAACAAAGGGAGCACUUGUUCUAUGUGAAUGAAUUUCAAAACCUGUUUCUUUCCAACUGGUUGGGAGUGCUAGCAAGGAUGGCGCAAGCGGUUGACGUGGCUAGAGUUGCUAGCUGGAGUAGUCCCUUCUGAAUGAUUUCAAAAGAUUGUACUUCUGCGUGCAUCAAUCGAUUCACACGCCGGGGGUAUCCUCAUUUUCAAUAAAAAUGCCUAAGAUGUCAAAAUUAGAAAGGAAAUGGAAAACAACAUUGCUUAAUCUAGAGUUUGCAUCCGUUUGGAUAAAGGAUUAAGACAGCAGAAUGAUCAUUGGUGAUGUUAACAUGAACUGAAAUUCUGAAACAGACCAAUAUCUAUCUUGACACACCGGAGAACAGCUCCUGAUUUUUUUCCCUUCAGAUUUAACAGUUUGAUCAUCUUUCGAAAAUUUUGCCUAAAGAAACAUAUUUUAAAAAAUGCAAUGGAUAAGUCAGCAAAAUUUCUAGGCUGACAGGAACAAGACACACAGUGACUAGUUUUUCGCCAAGGAAAGGAUAUCAAAAGACGGCGGCCUUUGUGUACAUAAUGUCAUAGUAAGUGUACCCCAUGAGAGUGCGUGCCAGUCUCUCUGGGCAGUGUUGGCCCAUGGUUCCCACUUCCACCAUAUCCCACUCGUCCCAGAUCUCAAAGAUUUUCUCACCGCGGCCAUCCUCGAGGCGAUGCAUGCAAAUCCCAUACCGUAGCAGUAGAUGCAGUUGCAUUCGAUGCCCGAGGGAUUAGACUGGUCAUAGUGGGAAGUAUCAUAUAUUAGUAUCAUGCAUAUGAUACUAGUGUAUAAUACUACAUUCAUAGUGCAUAAUAUUAUAGAUUAGUAUCAUAGAUGGUCUCAUUUAUUGCCAUGCAUGACACAUAGUAGCAUCACAUUUAUUAUGUUACGGUAUCUAUCUAUUUUACUAUAACUAUCUCUUUUUUUUUAAUAACCUGCCACAUAAGCAUGUUUGCGAGUCCCAAAAACAUGAUACUACUUAUGGCCAGCCUAAGGCCAACCUUAGGCCUCCUUUGGUUCAUAGGAUGGGAAUUUUACAGGAAUAGGAAAAUCAUAGGAAGUGAGAUGACAUGCAUCUCAAUUCCUAUAAAAAAAGAUGUCAUUUGAUGCAUAGGAUAGGGAUUUUUCCAUUAAGUUUAGGCUAAUGUUUUUUUCCUCCAAAAUGUGAAGGAUUGGUUCUUGUCCUACAUAGAAAUAGGAAUCCAUUCCUACAAACCAAUGGGCUUCAAAGGAAUUUUUCCUUUACAAAUCCUAUCCUGUAGAGUUCCUACAAAAUUCCUACAAACCAAACGAGGCCUUAGCGUCCACGGACAGACAACGCUGUUUGCCAAGAAAGAUGGCACGGCUUCCAAUGGUCUUGAUCUGCUCCAAAGUUCUAUUUUCGAUGUCCACCCUGAACACCUGCAUCAGUCCAAACGGAAAAUUCACAUGUCGCACAAGGAGCAGCUCUCCUACGUUGUCGACGAGGAAGGUGGGAGUCGUGAGACGGUUGUACUUCCAGGGGGCGCUCACGAUGGUGGUGACCGUGGGUUUCUGGUCGAGCCUGCAGUUGUGUUCAACUGCAACGACCGAUCCUCUCAUGUCGGCGUACGCUCGGCCUUUGAAGGCCACCAUGGCCCUGAGCUCCUCCACGGCCGGCUUGGCUUCAAACACUGCCUCUCGGUUGAAGGCAUCGUCCCAGGUCGGGUCGAUGCACCCGCCAUAGCUGAAACCAAAACGGCUGUAGAGCACCAUCGGUGAAGAGCCCGCCGCGGACAUCUCCCUAAUGCUCUGUGUGACACUGAGGAAUUGGACGGUAGUAACGGCCAAGCUUACAAGGUGGCCAGUGAAGGGGUUGAGGGUGAACAUCCACGACCCGGCCACCAGGACGAGGCGGCCGUCCUCCGAGAAGGCAACGCAGGUGAAGUUGCGGAGUAUCGGCAGGUCCUUCCACAGGAAGCGGCCAGCGUCGACAUGAAGGAACAGGCAGCGGGGAAUGCCGCCGUCGUUCCCGGCGAGCUUCUCGAUCAUGGCCCAUCGCCGAGGAUGGAAACGAUGGUCCAUGACACGCGGGUCGUCGGUGGAGACGCGCCAGUUGUGGCACACGGUGCGGAGGCUUAUGUAGUAGUCGAGGUCGUUGGUGGCGAGGAAGACGUCUGCGAUGCGCCUGACGAGGUCGGGGGGGAGCGACGACCAGUCCACCGUGCACGACAUAAUCGAUCGGUCGCACAAAACUCACUGGGGAAGACGAUGGUUGUGGCAACUCAGUCUUGUCGAUUACUACCUUUUUUAUCCUUUUUUUGCCAGUUCCACCCUUGAUGCAAUUGGGUCCGACUUUUUUUCACCUCGGUUGCUCCGCCAUCAACUCGCAACUAGGUUUUAUUUGGCUUUUUUCUCGCGAGUUUCCUUCAAAAGCAAAGUAACCCUGCCAUACAUUUUCAGUAGGUUUUUCCCCAAGAAGGCUCAGAUCUGGCGGUGUCAUUUUUUGUCUAUCUUGUUCUAUGCAACUAAUGCAAAAAAGGUUAGGUCACUACUCUAGAUCCUAGUUUUAUGACCCAAGAUCUGCCACUACUCCCGGCAACAAUCACGGAAAAUACAUGGAUGAAACCAGGCUAAUAUACACCCACUUCGAAAACACAUUUCUAAAUCCCGAAAAAAUCAAAAGCACCUUCUACGUGCGUGCAGAAAAGUUUUUGCGGGAAAACAACUAUUUUGUUGGCCUGCGCAAGAAAGAUAAAUAAAUGUGUCCUCAAACGCUAUUUAAAAUUGUUCAGUGGGUAUUGGUAAAAGGGUUCACUGUAUAUAUUAAAAGAAGUUCACCGUACAAGUUCAAGUUCAAUGUAUAUUAAAAAAGUUCAUGAUAUAUUAAAUAUUUGUUCAGUGGGUAUCUGAAAAAGUGUUUGUCGAUAUUUUAGAAUUUUUUCAUGUGUAUUUAAAAGAAAUGUCCUAGUACACAUCAUGUAGCAGGAGCAAACAUGACAUGCAAAACAAGAGCAAAUAUUUACAUGUAGAGCAGCAUGAGCAAAUAUUUCUUAGAACCAAAUCUAAACUAGCCUCAUACAUGUACUUGAGCUCAUCGGGGAAAAGAGCAACAUGAGAAGAUCCUAGUGGCAUCAUACAAUUCAAUCAAGCAGUAUAUCAACCACAAAUAGAAGAAGCCAGAGCAGAGCAUGCAUAACUUGGGGAGAUAAAACAGAGUCGAGAGGGAGGGGAUCGACAUUCCCUGCUGUGGUUGGGCAUCGGCACGGCCGUGGGGUCGUGUCCUGCUCAUCCUCCUCGACUAUUUCGUUUAUGGACAGCACCCACCUGCUCCAAUUGACCAAAAAGGAAAAAGGUUUAGAAUUAGAAAUUCAUCAUAUCAAAUAGAUUCAGACUCAAGAGCACCACUCAUCAUACCACAACCAUUUUUCGUCAAAUAAUAUAGCUGCCAAGCACUUCACACUCUAAAUGAUAAACUCCCAUCGAAUCCCUAGCUGACGACACGAUCGGCGAAUGCAGCCACCAUCACUGCCAUGAAGCCUAACGAAGAGUUCACUAGGCGGAUCACCGCCUAGAGCCGUCGCCCUAGCGUCAAUCAAAACCCAAACCUAGCAUCACCCCAAGCCCCAUUGGCGCCCCCACCUACCACCACCAGGACAGGGCAGAGGGAAGCAGGCUCGAACGGUAAAAGAACGAGCGGCGGAUGGAGCACGACCAACUAGAUCCAUGGCCUCCACACCAGCCCACAGUCGGGUGAGGGGGUCGCCGCCCCCCGACCGCGGUCACCUGAUAAGAGCAUCUCUAGCAGACCCCUUAAAAACACCAAACCUGUAAAAUUCCAACGAAUUUAUGGUUCCGGACCAAUUUUAUGUUCAGAACAGACCCCGUAAAAGUUCGGGGAACCGUAGACGUUUUACAGGCCAUCGAAAACGCAAGCCUCUGCCCUCUAGUUCUAUAGGUCCGAGGACAGUAUACAUGUCACGAACUGGAUCCUUCCGCCGCCAUCCGUACCACCUGUAUCCAGCCGUCGAUUUCUCUCUGCUCCAACAAAAUUCUGCACUGCAAAAGGAUCGAGCGCGUGCAUGCGGCCAUGGCUGAUCCCAUUCGUGCUCAACGCGAGGAAGAGGAACGGGAUGCGGCGCUCCGUGACACCGGCGGCUCCGUAUUUGACAGCUUGAAUCGAUUGGGCACGGUGACGGGAGCUAGCUAGCUAGCUAGCUUCUGAAUCGAUUGCCCACGGUGACGGGAGCUAGCUAGCUUCUGGGCCAAUUCAAGCGGUGACGGCGACGCUGGGCGCUUUGUGCGAGCCGUUCUGGACACCGGCGGCACCGUAUUUGGCCGCUUUGUGCUCUGUCCGCAGGUUUCGUAGGAGUGAGCUAGCUGCCCGUGAACACAGGCAAGAGGAAGAAGAAGACGUGGUGGAAAAUAUACACGAAUAUUCGGUAUUCCAGUCUAAGCUUAAAGGAUCUGCUCGGCCGCAGCUCAAACCAACUCUUAAAAUGUGUUUUUCGCGAAUUGAAAACCGCAUUUUCAGUUUUCUGAUUUAAGGUUCUGCUAGAGAUGCUCUGAUGGCAAUUGCCGCAACGCCCUUGGCUACAACCACCACCAGUGUCAAAGAUCUUGGUCACAUGACCUAGAUCUGGGCCAGGACGGGCCACCCUGGUUGGGGCGCCCCUAGGCCAAGGGUGGCAGGAUGCCAGCCCUCCAUGUAUCGUCAGCUGUAGUGUGGCUGCAGAAUGACGAUGGAGUUGCGGAGAUCCAAUGGUAACCUGUGCUAGUUUACGGGGAGGAUCCCGGCUGGGCGACUGGCGGCAGCGAAUGGAACUGUAGUAAGUCAAAUUAGGUGACUUGAAUUUGUCUAAAUAUGAAUGUAUCUAUAUUUGUUUAGUGUCUAGAUAAAUAUGGGUCAAUUAAUUUGGAACGGAGGGAGUAUGAUCUACAAACUUCCUUUUGUGCCUCGAACCUAUAAUUUGAACUAAAUUUGUGUGCUUAAAGAAAGUACGCAGCUCCUCUGUUCAUCUUUUCUUAAAUUUGCAUUUUGAUUGUAGUUAAGUUUCUACGGUACCAAAGCUUAAUACGAAUACAAUAGUGAGUACGAUCAUUUCAAAUUCAACAUUUUCCAGCACAGAGGUUAGUAUAAAAGUGAUGGAUGGUUUCGCCUCAUAAAGUCCAGCAUAUACAUAAAUCAAGCCUCAGUUGUUUUUACCUACAUGCAUGGACACUUGUAUGGUUCCACGGAUGCGGUAUAUCAUGGAUUCACGGUCAAGGUACACAAAGAAGCUACUCCGUUACUUUCUCCCACCGGCUGCAGCAUGUAUAUGCACUGCUAGCUACUCCCUCCGUUCCAAAUUACUUGUCUUCGAUUUGUCUAGAUACGGAUGUAUCUAGCACUAAAAUAAGUCUAGAUACAUCCGUAUCUAUACAAAUCUAAGACAAGUAAUUCAGAACGGAGGGAGUAGUAGUUACUAGACACCAUAUUACAGGUAUCCGACUAGAACUUGUGCAAGGCUCAAGGGCAGAAAUCGACUCGGCCGUUCCACGGGCUCGAAGAGUGUCUCGUCGCUGCCGUCCACAAGACGGUGCAUGCAAAUCCCGCCGUUCUGAGGACGAGGCACGCGGUCGACGUAGUAGACGCAGUUGCCUUCGAUGGCAGGAAGAUUGCCAGCAUCUACGGACAGACAACGAUUGCGGCCAAGGAAGAUAGCACGGUUUCCUAUACAUUUGAUCGCCUUGAGAAUUUUAUUCUCGAUGUCAACCCUGAAAACCUGCAGGCCGGAAAACAGAGAUCAACUCUAAUAAAUAGAUUUGGCUAGGGUUCCCCCGCUCCCCUCCCGCCGCCGCCGCCCCUCCCGCCGCCGCCGGCCGUCGGCCCCGCCCCCCGCCUCCGCCCCCCUUCCGCCCUACCCCUCCUCCGUCUAUACCNNNNNNNNNNNNNNNNNNNNNNNNNNNNNNNNNNNNNNNNNNNNNNNNNNNNNNNNNNNNNNNNNNNNNNNNNNNNNNNNNNNNNNNNNNNNNNNNNNNNNNNNNNNNNNNNNNNNNNNNNNNNNNNNNNNNNNNNNNNNNNNNNNNNNNNNNNNNNNNNNNNNNNNNNNNNNNNNNNNNNNNNNNNNNNNNNNNNNNNNNNNNNNNNNNNNNNNNNNNNNNNNNNNNNNNNNNNNNNNNNNNNNNNNNNNNNNNNNNNNNNNNNNNNNNNNNNNNNNNNNNNNNNNNNNNNNNNNNNNNNNNNNNNNNNNNNNNNNNNNNNNNNNNNNNNNNNNNNNNNNNNNNNNNNNNNNNNNNNNNNNNNNNNNNNNNNNNNNNNNNNNNNNNNNNNNNNNNNNNNNNNNNNNNNNNNNNNNNNNNNNNNNNNNNNNNNNNNNNNNNNNNNNNNNNNNNNNNNNNNNNNNNNNNNNNNNNNNNNNNNNNNNNNNNNNNNNNNNNNNNNNUCCUUGGCGGCGGGGCGGCGUGGUGGUGCCGGGUGGCCGUCGACGCGCCCCCGGCCCAGAUCCGGGCACGUCGGGCCCCAUCUGGGCCCCUGGGGGCCGGCCCCCCGGCAUGGUCUCGUUGUCUGCGGCGCGGUGAGGAGGAGGAGCGGCUCGGACUUGGGGCGUCGGCGCCGAUGGCGUGCCGGCAGCAGCGCGAAGGCGGGAGCUUUACGGGCCCACGAGGGCUCGGCCGGGCCUGUGGGCCUACGGGCCUGGUGUGCUCCUGCUAUCGCGUCCGGACGGCUACUGUCGCUGACGGUGGAGGUGGGGCCCUCCCGCGUGCCGAUGGUGCUAAUGCCCUAGUCCCGGCUCUCAUUCUUCGUCGUGCUGUCCUCACUUCGCGGUGCCGUGGUGAGACGGCGUGGAGGCCUCAUGACCGCGUUGGCGUAGGGUGGUGGUUGGUUUGGUGGCGGGAUCCGGAGCGCCCGAGGUGCGGGUUGGGAUCGGGGGAAACCCCUGUCGGCGGGGCCGACUCCGGCGCGGUGGCGCCUGUGGGUGCCGCCUGACCUUCCGGGAGGGCGUCGGGGGCUACUCUUCCUCUCGCCUCGUCGUGUACCGGGGAAACCCUUGGCAGCAGCAUCGUCAUUGUCGCGAUCCUUCUUGGAGGUGUUGAUUGGUGCCGACGCUUCGGAGUCUUGGAGCCUAGUGGAUGAGCCGGGUGGGCCUAGCGAUCGCGAGGCUUCUUCGUUUUUGUUGAUCCGCCGUUGUCGGCAUUUGUUUCUUUUGCUCUUUCUCUGUUGUUUCUUUUGGGCGUGACUGUGCUGCUUCCGCCCCAGCAUCUAUCCCUGUAUGCUUCGGUUGGUUGCUUUGUAUACAAAGCGGGGGGAAACCCUUUUUCGGUAAAACCUGCAGGCCGCCAUGGGACGACAGGAAGCGCACAAGGAGCAGCUCCCCGGCGUUUUCCACGAGGAACGUCGGCAGGAUCUCCUCCUCCCAGCAGCCGGCGAUGACGGUGGUGAUCAGCUCCAACUCCUCGUUUUGGCGCUGGCCUUUCACGACCACGACGGUUCCCUUGUCGUCGACGGCAUAUGCGCGGCCUUGAUAGGCCACCACGGAUCCGAACCCGUCGAGAUCUGGGUAAGCUGAGAACUUCGUCAUCCAGUCGAGAUCGCUAGUCGGGUCGACGCAGACGCCGUGAAACGGAUAGAAGAUGUAGAACAACAUCGGCGACGAGCCAGCUGCCACCAGUCGUGCGCCGAGGCAGUACAAGUACGGGGGUUUCUUGGAAAAACGGACGAGGUGGCCGGUGAAAGGGUUGAGGACGGCCAUCAUGUUGAGCCCAAAGGUCUCUUGCAGGACGAGGAGACCGUCCUCGGUGGAGGUGAUGUAGACGUACCCUCGGAGCAUGAGCACGUUCAUCCACAGGAAGCGGCCGGUGUCAGCGUGCAGCAAGAGGCAGCGGCCGGAGUCGCAGUUCAGGGCGUGUGACCGCAGCAUGAUCCAUCCUUGGGGGCGGAACCGCUUGUCCGGGCCGCGCGGGUCAUCGGUGGCGGCACGCCAGUUGUGGCACACGGCGCGGAGGCUCAUGUAGUAGUCGAGGUCGCUGGUGGCGAGGAAGACGUCCGCGAUGCUGUUGACGAGCUCGGAGGGUAGCGAUGACCAGUCCACCGGCGCCAUUGUUGCAGCGCCGUGGCGGUGCUAGUUUGAGCCUUUGGGGAACUGGGGAACGUACAGCCAUCGGCUGGAGGGGAAUAUAUGCAGGCGUGCCGCGCGUGGGCAAAGGAAUCUCGAAGGGUGCUGCCAUUGCAAUACGCUGACCGUCUGACGCUGUGUCUUCCGCGCCGCCGGCGUGGUGCGCGUUCGCACCAACGGCGCGCCUGGACUUGCUUUGGGACCCGGCGCACUCACGCGAGUUAAACUGCUUCGCUUCCCAAAGCGGCGGGCUCGUGUCAGACCAGACUAGCUAGAAGUCGCCCGUUGAGGUUCUCCACGCACCUCUGCCGCCCCGUACUGUAAACAACACACCGGCGCCUGCGCACGGUGACCAUGGCGUGGGCGGCCGACUGGUCAUCCCUCCCCUCUGAGCUCAUCAGCCGCGUCGCCGACGUCUUCCUCGCCACCAGCGACGUGGACUACUACGCGAGCCUCCGCGCUGUGUGCCGCAACUGGCGCGCCGCCACCGACGACCCGCGCGGGCCGCACCCCCGCUUGCGUCCCCAUCGCUGGGUGAUGCUCGACGAGCUCGACCGCAACGCCCGCUCCCGCCUCUUCCUCAACAUCGAAACCGGGCGCUUCCUACGGAGGGACAUCCCCGCGCUCUACUACUGCUUCUACGUCGCCGCCGCCGACGGCCUGCUCGUGCUGCUCGCGAGCAACAGCGAGACCAGGCUCUGCGUCCUCAACCCCAUCACCGGCUCCGUAGUCCGGUUCCACGCGACCGUCCACGUGCACCCCCGGGACAUUGGCUUGGCCGUGGCCGGCUCCUCGCCGAUGGUGCUCACCAUCUUCUCCAGCCCAAGCCACGGCGCGUGUUUCGAGCCCACCGUCCCCGGUGUCAACCCGUCGUCCCCGCCGGUGUUCACGGCCGCGCCAACCCUCGACAGCUUCGCCUCCGUGGUGGCGUUCCAAGGCCGCGUGUACGCCGCGGACCGUGCCGGAUCGGUCGCGGUUGUGGAGUACACUGGGCCUGACACGACGCCCGAGAUCACCAUCCUCGUCGCCGGCGACCGGCUGGCGAAUACUUACGCGUUCCUCGUUGACAGCGCCGGGGACGAGCUGUUGCUGGUACGCGCAACGUCGACGACCGCCACCGGCCGCAGCAUUCAGGACUUCAAAGUGAACCUCGGGACAAACUCUUUGGAGCCGGCCAGGACCAUCGGGAACCGCGCUCUCGUCCUCGGUGUCCAGUCCAUCUCCGUCGACGUUGGAAAUGUCCCCGGCUUGGAAGGGAACUGCGUCUAUUAUGGCAACAGCUUGUUCCGGCAGACGGGGAUCCGCGUCUACCGCAUCAACGACGGCAGUGAGGAGGUACUGGCCGCGCACCCCACGGACGAGGAGCGGCGUCGUGGGCAGGGCCGUGUGUUCCCCUUGCCCCUGGCCCAAAUUCUCGUGAUCUCCGCGUGGCCUUUCCGUGAUAGUGAUUUUGAAGGUUGGUGAAUUUCUUUGAACGAGGUUUCACAUUUCCUUAGGGAUCUUGAUGAAUUAUGCUGAUAUUUGAUUGAUUUUGAGAAAUAGUACCAAAAUGAACACAACAAUUCUUGAACAAACUACAAUGGCCGACCGGCCCAACCGUUCCUCGCGCGACGGUACUAGGGUAGCUGCAACUGCGGUGAACCGCCGGAGCUUCCAGUGGUGAACACAACCCAUCAGGGUUGCUGUAACCGCGAUGCCCACACACGCCGUUGCUGCAAUUGGCUAAGACGGAGCACAAUUGGCGGCAUGUUGUGUUCCAGCAAAUGGUCGUUAAUAACUUGAUUUGCUGGAAGGGCGGAACCAUGCGGGGCACCAGUGCUAUAACCAUGUGGGAGGCUAUGGGGGUGAGGUGGGGGGUGAUGAGGCGCUACAGGGGACAGCUGCCGGAGCAAGAAGAAGAGGCCGCGUGCGGGGCGUAGCUGCUGAAUCAUGCGGUCUUGGGCGUGCGUAUCAUGCGGUGCACGGUGAUCGUCUGAAAUUUAGGCCUGUCGUCUGGCGUGUAGUGUUGACCUAUUACUCCCAAACUUCAAACUAAGGCUGGUCAUAGUGGGGAGUAACUUAGACUAGUAACAUAUGCAUGUUACUAGUCUAUGUUACUACCUCUAUAGUGCAUUGUAUCAUAGAUUAGUAUCAUAGGUGGUCUCAUUUAGUGCCAUACAUGACACAUAGUAGCAUCACAUUUAUUAUGUUACGGUAUCUACCUAUGUUACUGUAACCAUCUCUCUCUUCUUUAAUUUCCUGCCACAUAAGCAUAUUUGCGAGUCCCAAGUGCAUGAUACUAUUUAUGUUACCCCCACUGUGGCUAGCCUAAGAUAUGUGAACACACUCUGUGAAUGAGGGGGGCGGGGGUGACUGAUGGGGGUAGCCUAGGUUGGGAUGACUCUUUUUUUUAGAAGGGUUGGGAUGACUGAUGGGGGUAGCCGAAGCUGAGGCAGUGGCGGACCUAGCCCACUGGCCCAGUGUGGGCCAGCAGUGCUACUGAACAUAUACAUUUAAUUUUUUUCUUUUAUUUUUACCUUUUCUCCUAUGGUAUAAAAGAGUUUUCCAAGUCUCGGGGUGGGCCAACCUCCGCCACUGGCUGAGGGUUGAUUCUAGCUAGCAUGUGCCCGACAUGUGUGAUGUUUUUUGCACACCAUUAACGACCAUUUUCCUUGUUACCUCAUUUACCUCUACAUGCACUGUAUCCUCUCCCCUUCCAAUUUUCGGAACCUAAAAUUUUUCUAAAGAUCCAUUGGAAGUCAACCUUGAAUUUCCUUGAACGUUGACAAAAAUUUGUUGGACUACUUAUAUGUUAGUUGAAAGUUUGAAAACAUUGGUUGAAAGCUUUAUUAUUACUAGCAUGUCGAUCAAAUUAACAAAAUCAUAUAAUUACGUGAAAGUUCUUUCUUGAAGAGGGAAAGCAGGAGGUGGUUGCUGGCUCCGACACCGCCUUUUUGGGUUGUUGGAAAGUAAUCACUUGUCUUCUCCAACCAUCUCUUAUCUUUUUCUUUUUGUGAAUGCCAACCAUCUCCAUAGGAGGUUCGAAACUCUCAUGUUUUCAAUGUAAAUUAAGACAAACUCGUGUAUGAAACACAAGAAAGAAAGAGUAAAGCGUUUGUACGGAGCUAUGCUCCUUGAUGUCGGCGGCUUGGGAUCUUUAAAUUUAAGGGAGAAUUCCUUAUUUAACAUUGGCAUAAUUCUUUUGCCAUGUUUGACAUGGGAAAACUUUUUCUUCCUUAUCUAACAACAAUGCUAGAAUUUAUUCCCGUUGUGACACUUCCAUCUAUUUUAAGUACUAAUGGUUUUAAGGGGGUGUUUGGGUCAGGGACUUUUUAGUCCCAAAGACUAGAAAAAGUCCCUAAGAAGUCCCUAGGAACCAAACGGGAGGGACUUUUUCUACAGGGACUAGAAAAAGACUCUACUGGAGAGUCUUUUUUGAUUAGUCCCUGGGACUAGAAAAGUCCUAGGACUUCUGAACCAAACACCCCCUAAAUGACACAUGAAAAGAUGAUUUUACCCCUGAUGCAACUUGUGACCAAAAUUAUUCACAUGAGAAGCAAUAACUUUUUCCUGUUGUUAAUUGCAAAAUUGGGCAGAACCUCCCCUGUAAACAUGCAAAAAAUACAUAUCUCCACACACAAGUAUUUCAAAUUUUAAUUCAAAAAUUGGGCAGAACCUCCCCUAUAAUUGAUGCCAUAUCCUCUUGACACAAUUCAGAUAUACAUAAUUCAACACACAAUUUUCAAAUUUGCCAAUGGCAUGAAACAUAAACAUCCGGGCUCAUAUCCAACUACACAUAUAUGACUUACAAUAAAUCCAGGUUCACAUAUAUGAGUUCAAGUCCACACAUACAUCAUAUUAGCAACCCAAAAGUGUCUCACAUCAUAUCUAGGUUCACAUAGAUAGUGCAAGUCCAUACAUAUAUGCAUGACAUGAGUAGCACAGAAGUGACUUUAGGUUCACAUACACGAGUCCAAGUCCACACAACAUGACAUGAGCAGCAACAAAAGUGACUUUAAGUGACAGAAAUUAGAUGAAGUUCACGAACCGAGCCUUCUUUUGCUUCUUGUGCUCAUUGCAGGGAUGGCUAGGUAGGAUUUUUUGCUUCUAGUGCCCAUUGCAGGGCUGUCAAAAGGCACCUUAGGACCAUUUUGAUCCUUUUUAAUAAGCUCCAUCUUCCUUGUAGCCCUUAAAAUAACAAUAUGUUGUCAAAUUGCAGUGCAUGUAUGGCAGCAGUACGUAUGGAUAAUAUUUGAUACAUGUAUGGCAACAAACAACAACAUUAACUAUGCAUAAUAUGUGAUAUUAAAAUUAAGAAUUAGGAAAGUUCACCUUUUCCUCCCUUUUGCAUUUCUCUUGUUUGUAGUAUCAUCCUCAUGUUCUAUAUUGUUGUCAGGUUCGCUAUCACUGUGCCACUCGAUAAUAGGCUCAUACGGUUCAGAGGGAUCACAAUAUGCAAUGAUCAUAUGCAGCACCUUUGUCUCUGAGUGUUUUUCAAACAUAAGCAUCAAAUCUUGGUCAGAAUUUACUUUUGGACAUGUUUUAAGAUCACCAUCAUAAUACUGCACAUGUGCAACUUCCAUAUAACGCGGCGGGUACUGCUUUACAAUUGAUUCAACCAAAGCCUUAUAAUUUGUCAAGUCACAAUCGAUGAUCUUUUCAAAACAAAAACAUCGUAUGUCCUUCCGAGCUUUUUUUGGAUUGCCGAACAAUUUAAUUCUAAGCAAAUAACUUGAAUUUGGAUCCAUCCUGUGAAUUAAGAAGACAAUUUUGCAUCAGACCUAUGCAUGAGUAUUGCAAGCUUUAGCCUCAAUUACACAGCUACACAAACUAGCACAGACCUAUGCAUGAUAAUUGCUACUGGAUGGAAUGUAUUGCUACUAACAUUGCAUUCAAAUGAGGAAAAUACAAACAGAGUAGUUGCAUUCACUUGGACUCCUACGAAUGACACUUACCCAUCUGGACACGCGCAUGUAGCCGAGGACAAACGAGCCGCGCUCUGGUCUGAAGCACGUGCCGAGGCCGGCCUAGCAGUACCCUGGCCGGAGUCUUUAGCCACGCCGGCCGCAGAGCACCCAACCACUUCCGCGCCUUGACCCAGGCCCGCUGCAGUCGAGCGACUGCCACCUGCGAAAGAUAUCUCGUCGGCACCCUCAAUCGCACCCUCAACCGACCCCUCCUCAGACGCAGCCCCGCCAUCGCCAUUGGCCACCAGCGCUGGAUCCACAGCGGCGCCCAGGCCUGACCCGUCCGCUGCACCCUGGUCGUCUUCCUUGGAGUUGUCUCCCUCUGCGGCAACGCCCCCAUCCAUAGCCCUAAGCCGCCGCUGCCGCUAGGGUUCGCCGCCGCCGCGCUAGGUUGGACAGAACGGAGAAAGGAGCACAAAUCACGGGGUCAGGACUCGGGGGAGAGAUUGAGGCCGGUUUGGGCUUUGUUUUCUUGGUUCUCCUGCUUAUUAUGGACAGGGGCAAUUUCGUACAACUAGAAAAAAAUGACAUCGGUGAAUGUAGACUUUAAAGGCUUCUCCUAACAGAACCGACGGGUGUGUUAGGAAGGGAAAAAAUAAGGAAGGAAUUUUUAUGCAUUGUUAAAAUAGGGAACCAACAUUUAAAACGGUGUUAUAUAAGGAAUUUUCUCAUCUUUUAACCACAAUGUUCUGAAUAGCGGCCAAAAAAUGACGAUCGGGCUGCGGUGCCGAGGAGAACAAAGUAAAAAAAACAGUGUGGCCCCAUCGGAAACGGUAUGGUUCGUGGGAGGAAUAACUGAUGUAGAACCUUCCCACACGAUUCAGAGAGCAUUGAAGACAAAUGGGAGCUUCACCACCACAUCAUUGGAAGGAAGUGAAAUCCUUGCUAAUACUAAGGUGUAGUAGCAAAAAAGAUUAACUAGAACUCACAUGUUUGUGUCAUGUUAAACAAAGAAAGAAUCAUAAUUACAAUACAUAUAUAAGUGAAGAACUAUGUUCUCCAAAGCAUUUGAAAGGGAAAAACUAAUCUUAGCUUGUCUCACUUGACAUGCAUACACAUUGGGGGCAAUACUUAAUCACCAUAGAUGCAAUUAGCUUAUAUAGCUCAACAAACCAAUUGAAUACAUAAGUCAUAGGUGAGAAAAGCUUCGGCGUACCAUGCCUUCAGGUCGCAUGCGACCAGCUCAUAAUGUGAUACUAGAAUGUGUGAACAAUGUACAUUCGAAGAUUCAAUCCAUUAGUGCGUACAUGUGCGAUAACUCCUGGUCAGGUAGCUUCUUAUGUAUACACAAUCUAGGCAAUAUAAUGGUGCAGAAUAGCUUAUUCUACACUCCUGCCAUAUACAAAAUCUAGUAAACGGUGUACAAAAUGUAGUAAUUCUGAAAAUAGUUUUUUUACUAUCCAAGUUUGUAAUUUACUACACAUUUUCAAAAUACUAUGUUUUGUAUACUAUGUUACUAUAUUUUGUAUGUAGCAUUACUAUGACAGAUUUGGUAGGAUCGGACAUGAUAACUGCGUUAGGUAUGAAGAAUUUUGAAUCAGUGUAUCUAAUAUUAUACAGGGCCGUGCCCAUGAAAUUGGAACCCCGGUGCGAAAUCUCAAGUUAGGCCAUAGCUAUAUAUAAGAGUAAAAGCAAUGGAAAUUAAGGAGCUACAUUGAUGCUUAUUGGUUUUAAUUUUCGCUCAGAUCUAUGGCUUGCAAUAGAAACAAGUCAUGAUACUCUUAACUGCCGACCUACCUUUCUGUUAAAGGUGCUACAUUUCUAGUCUUAGUUACUAAUGUUAGGGAACGUAGUAAUUUCAAAAAAAAUUCUACGCACACGCAAGAUCAUGGUGAUGAUAUAGCAACGAGAGGGGAGAGUAUAGUCCACGUACCCUCGUAGACUGUAAGCGGAAGCGUUAGAACAACGCGGUUGAUGUAGUCGUACGUAUUCACGGCCCGACCGAUCAAGCACCGAAACUACGGCACCUCCGAGUUCUAGCACACGUUCAGCUCGAUGACGUCCCUCGAACUCCGAUCCAGCUGAGUGUCGAGGGAGAGUUCCGUCAGCACGACGGCGUGGUGAUGAUCUUGAUGUACUACCGACGCAGGGCUUCGCCUAAGCACCGCAACGAUAUUAUCGAGGUGGAUUAUGGUGGAGGAGGGCACCGCACACGGCUAAGAGAUCCAAGGGAUCAAUUGUUGUUGUCUAGAGGUGCCCCCCUGCCCCCGUAUAUAAAGGAGCAAGGGGGGAGGGGGCGGCCGGCCUAGUAGGGGCGCACCAAGGGGAGUCCUACUCCCACCAGGAGUAGGACUCCCUCCUUCCUUGUUGGAGUAGGAGAAGGGGGAAAGAGGGGAAGAGGAGGAAGGAAAAGGGGGCCGCACCCCUUGUCCAAUUCGGACUAGAGGGGGGCUGCGCGCCUCCUUCCUUUCGGCCUCUCUCCUCUAUUCCCGUAUGGCCCAAUAAGGCCCAUAUACUCCCCGGCGAAUUCCCGUAACUCUCCGGUACUCCGAAAAAUACCCAAAUCACUCGGAACCUUUCCGAACUCCGAAUAUAGUCGUCCAAUAUAUCGAUCUUUACGUCUCGACCAUUUCGAGACUCCUCGUCAUGUCCCCAAUCUCAUCCGGGACUCCGAACUCCUUCGGUACAUCAAAACUCAUAAACUCAUAAUAUAACUGUCAUCGAAACCUUAAGCGUGCGGACCCUACGGGUUCGAGAACAAUGUAGACAUGACCUAGAACUAUUCUCGGUCAAUAACCAAUAGCGGAACCUGGAUGCUCAUAUUGGCUUCCACAUAUUCUACGAAGAUCUUUAUCGGUCAAACCGCAUAACAACAUAUGUUGUUCCCUUUGUCAUCGGUAUGUUACUUGCCCGAGAUUCGAUCGUCGGUAUCCAAUACCUAGUUCAAUCUCGUUACCGACAAGUCUCUUUACUCGUUAUGUAAUGCAUCAUCCCGUAACCAACUCAUUGGUCACUUUGCUUGCAAGGCUUAUAAUGAUGUGCAUUACCGAGAGGGCCCAGAGAUACCCCUCCGACAAUCGGAGUGACAAAACCUAAUCUCGAAAUACGCCAACUCAACAUGUACCUUCGGAGACACCUGUAGUACUCCUUUAUAAUCACCCAGUUACGUUGUGACGUUUGGUAGUACCCAAAGUGUUCCUCCGGUAAACGGGAGUUGCAUAAUCUCAUAGUUACAGGAACAUGUAUAAGUCAUGAAGAAAGCAAUAGCAACAUACUAAACGAUCAAGUGCUAAGCUAACGGAAUGGGUCAAGUCAAUCACAUCAUUCUCCUAAUGAUGUGAUCCCGUUAAUCAAAUGACAACUCUUUUGUCCAUGGCUAGGAAACAUAACCAUCUCUGAUAAACGAGCUAGUCAAGUAGAGGCAUACUAGUGACACUAUGUUUGUCUAUGUAUUCACACAUGUAUUAUGUUUCCGGUUAAUACAAUUCUAGCAUGAAUAAUAAACAUUUAUCAUGAAAUAAGGAAAUAAAUAAUAACUUUAUUAUUGCCUCUAGGGCAUAUUUCCUUCAGUCUCCCACUUGCACUAGAGUCAAUAAUCUAGUUCACAUCGCCAUGUGAUUUAACACCAAUAUUCAUAUCUGUAUAUGAUUAACACCCAUAGUUCACAUCAUCAUGUGACCAACACCCAAAGGGUUUACUAGAGUCAAUAAUCUAGUUCACAUCGCUAUGUGAUUAACACUCAAAGAGUACUAAGGUGUGAUCAUGUUUUGCUCGUGAGAGAAGCUUAGUCAACGGGUCUGUCACAUUCAGAGCCGUAUGUAUUUUGCAAAUAUUCUAUGUCUACAAUGCUCUGCACGGAGCUACUCUAGCUAAUCGCUCCCACUUUCAAUAUGUAUCCAGAUUGAGACUUAGAGUCAUCUGGAUCGGUGUGAAAACUUGCACCGAGGUAACUUUUACGACAGGCUCUUUUAUCACCUCCAUAAUCGAGAAAUAUUUCCUUAGUCCUCACUAAGGAUAUUCUUGACCAAUGUCCAGUGAUCUACUCCUAGAUCACUAUUGUACUCCCUUGUCAAAUACAGAGCAAGGUAUACAAUAGGUCUGGUACAUAGCAUAGCAUACUUUAUAGAACCUAUGACUGAGGCAUAGGGAAUGACUUUUCAUUCUCUUUCUAUUUUCUGCUGUGGUCGGGAUUUGAGUCUUACUCAAUUUCAUACCUUUGCAACACAGGCAAGAACUCUUUCUUUGACUGUUCCAUUUUGAACUACUUCAAAAUCUUGUCAAGGUAUGUACUCAUUGAAAAUCUUAUCAAGCGUCUUGAUCUAUUUCAAUAGAUCUUGAUGCUCAACAUGUAAGUAGCUUUACUGAGGUCUUUCUUCGAAAAACUCCUUUCAAAUACUCCUUUAUGCUUUGCAGAAUAAUUCUACAUUACUUCCGAUCAACAAUAUGUCAUUCACAUAUACUUAUCAGAAAUGUUGUAGUGCUCCCACUCACUUUCUUGUAAAUACAGGCUUCACCGCAAGUCUGUAUAAAACUAUAUGCUUUGAUCAACUUAUCAAAGCGUAUAUUCCAACUCCGAGAUGCUUGCACUAGUCCAUAGAUGCACAUUUUGUUAACACCUUUAGGAUCGACAAAACCUCUUGGUUGCAUCACAUACAACUGUUCUUUAAUAACUCCAUUAAGGAAUGCAGUUUUGUUUAUCCAUUUGCCAGAUUUCAUAAAAUCCGGCAAUUGCUAACAUGAUUCGGAUAGACUUAGCAUCGAUACGAGUGAGAAAAUCUCAUCGUAUUCAACCCCUUGAACUUGUUGAAAACCUUUUGCAACAAGUCGAGCUUAGUGGAUAGUAACACUACUAUCAGUGUCCGUCUUCCUCUUGAAGAUCCAUUUAUUUAACAUGGCUUGCUGAUCAUCGAGCAAGUCAAUCAAAGUCCAUACUUUGUUCUCAUACAUGGAUCAUAUCUCAGAUUUUAUGGCCUCAAGCCAUUUCGCGGAAUCUGGGCUCAUCAUCGCUUCCUCAUAGUUCGUAGGUUCAUCAUGGUCUAGUAACAUGACUUUCAGAACAGGAUUACUGUACCACUCUGGUGCGGACCGUACUCUGGAAGACCUACGAGGUUCUGUAGUAACUUGAUCUGAAGUUUCAUGAUCAUCAUCAUUAGCUUCCUCACUAAUUGGUAUAGGAAUCACUGGAACUGAUUUCUGUGAUGAACUACUUUCCAAUUCGGGAGAAGGUACAAAUUACCUUAUCAAGCUCUUACUUUCCUCCCACUCACUUCUUUCGAGAGAAACUCCUUCUCUAGAAAGGAUCCGUUUUUAGCAACGAAUAUCUUGCCUUCGGAUCUGUGAUAGAAGGUGGACCCAACAAUUUCCUUUGGGUAUUCUAUGAAGACGCCUUUCUCCGAUUUGGGUUUGAGCUUAUCAGGAUGAAACUUUUUUUACAUAAGCAUCGCAGCCCCAAGCUUUAAGAAACGACAGCUUAGGUUUACUGCUAAACCAUAGUUCAUACGGUGUCGUCUCAACGGAUUUAGAUGGUGCCCUAUUAAAUGUGAAUGCAGUUGUCUCUAAUGCAUAACCCCAAAACGAUAGUGGUAAACUAAUAAGAGAUAUCAUAGAUCGCACCAUAUUUAGUAAAGUACGAUUACGACAUUCGGACACACCAUUACAUUGUGGUGUUCCAGGUGGCGUGAGUUUGUGAAACUAUUCCACAUUGUUUUAAUUGAAGACCAAACACGUAACUCAAACAUUUGUCUCCGCGAUCAAAUCACAGAAACUUUAUUUUCUUGUUACGAUGAUUCUCCACUUCACUCUGAAAUUCUUUGAACCUUUCAACUAUUUCAGACUUAUGUUUCAUCAAGUAGAUAUACCCAUAUCUACUCAAAUCAUCUUGUGAAGGUCAGAAAAUAACGAUACUUGCCACGAGCAUCAACACUCAUUGGAUCGUAUACAUCGGUAUGUAUUAUUUCCAAUAAGUCAGUAGCUUGUUCCAUUGUUCUGGAGAACGGAGUUUUAGUCAUCUUGCCCAAAAGGCACGGUUCGCAAGCAUCAAAUGAUUCAUAACCAAGUGAUUCCGAAAAUCCAUCUUUAUGGAGUUUUUUCAUGCGCUUUACACCGAUAUGACCCAAACGGCAGUGCCACAAAUAAGUUGCACUAUCAUUAUUAACUUUGCAUCUUUUGGUAUCAAUAUUGUGAAUAUGUGUAUCACUACGAUCGAGAUCCAAUAAACUAUUUUCAUUAGGUGUAUGACCAUUGAAGGUCUUAUUCAUGUAAACAGAAUAACAAUUUAUUCUCUAACUUUAAAUGAAUAACCGUAUCGCAAUAAACAUGAUCAAAUCAUAUUCAUGCUUAACGCAAACGCCAAAUAACAUUUAUUUAGGUUUAACACUAAUCCCAAAAGUAUAGGGAGUGUGCGAUGAUGAUCAUAUCAAUCUUGGAACUACUUCCAACACUCAUCGUCACUUCCCCUUCAACUAGUCUUUGUUUAUUCUGUAACUCCUGUUUCGAGUUACUAAUCUUAGCAACCGAACAAGUAUCAAAUACUCAGGGGCUACUACAAACACUAGUAAGGCACACAUCAAUAAUCUGUAUAUCAAAUAUACCCUUGUUCACUUUGCCAUCCUUCUUAUCCACCAAAUAUUCAGGGCAUUUCCGCUUCCAGUGACCAUUUCCUUUGCAGUGUAAGCACUCAGUUUCAGGCUUUGGUCCAACUUUGGGCUUCUUCGUGGAAGUGACAACUUGCUUGUCAUUCUACUUGAAGUUCCCCUUUCUUUCCCUUUGCCCUUUUCUUGAAACUAGUGAUCUUGUCAACCAUCAACACUUGAUGCUCUUUCUUGAUUCCUACCUUCGUCGAUUUCAACAUCACGAAGAGCUCGGGAAUUGUUUUCGUCAUCCCUUGCAUACUAUAGUUCAUCACAAAGUUCUACUAACUUGGUGAUGGUGACUAGAGAACUCUGUCAAUCACUAUCUUAUCUGGAAGAUUAACUCCCACUUGAUUCAAGCGAUUGAAGUACCCAAACAAUCUGAGCACAUGCUCACUAGUUGAGCGAUUCUCCUCCAUCUUUUAGCUAUAGAAUUUGUUGGAGACUUCAUAUCUCUCAACUCGGGUAUUUGCUUCAAAUAUUAACUUCAACUCCUGGAACAUCUUAUAUGGUCCAUGACGUUCAAAAACGUCUUUGAAGUCCCGAUUCUAAGCCGUUAAGCAUGGUGCACUAAACUAUCAAGUAGUCAUCAUAUUGAGCUAGCCAAUCGUUCAUAACAUUUGUAUCUGCUCCUGCAAUAGGUCUGUCACCUAGCGGUGCAUUAAGGACAUAAUUCUUCUGUGCAGCAAUGAGGAUAAACCUCAGAUCACGGAUCCAAUCCGCAUCAUUGCUACUAACAUCUUUCAACACAAUUUUCUCUAGGAACAUAUCAAAAUAAACAUAUGAAAGCAACAACGCGAGCUAUUGAUCUACAACAAACAUUGACAAGCAAGAUACUAUCAGGUACUAAGUUCAUGAUAAAUUUAAGUUCAAUUAAUCAUAUUACUUAAGAACUCCCACUUAGACAGACAUCUCUCUAGUCAUCUAAGUGAUCACGUGAUCCAAAUCAACCAAACCAUGUCCGAUCAUCACGUGAGAUGGAGUAGUUUCAAUGGUGAACAUCGCUAUGUUGAUCAUAUCUACUAUAUGAUUCACGCUCGACCUUUCGGUCUCCGUGUUCCGAGGCCAUAUCUGUAUAUGCUAGGCUCGUCAAGUAUAACCUGAGUAUUCCGCGUGUGCAACUGUUUUGCACCCGUUGUAUUUGAACGUAGAGCCUAUCACACCCGAUCAUCACGUGGUGUCUCAGCACGAAGAACUUUCACAACGGUGCAUACUCAGGGAGAAUAUUUCUUGAUAAUUAGUGAGAGAUCAUCUUAAAAUGCUACCGUCAAUCAAAGCAAGAUAAGAUGCAUAAAGGAUAAACAUCACAUGCAAUCAAUAUAAGUGAUAUGAUAUGGCCAUCAUCAUCUUGUGCUUGUGAUCUCCAUCUUCGAAGCACCGUCAUGAUCACCAUCGUCACCGGCGCGACACCUUGAUCUCCAUCGUAGCAUCGUUGUCGUUACGCCAUCUAUUGUUUCUACGACUAUCGCUACCGCUUAGUGAUAAAGUAAAGCAAUUACAGGGCGUUUGCAUUUCAUACAAUAAAGCGACAACCAUAUGGCUCCUGCCAGUUGCCGAUAACUUUGGUUACAAAACAUGAUCAUCUCAUACAAUAAAAUAUAGCAUCACGUCUUGACCAUAUCACAUCACAACAUGCCUUGCAAAAACAAGUUAGACGUCCUCUACUUUGUUGUUGCAAAUUUUAUGUGGCUGCUACGGGCUUAGCAAGAACCGUUCUUACCUACGCAUCAAAAAAACCACAACGAUAGUUCGUCAAGUUGGUGCUGUUUUAACCUUCGCAAGGACCGGGCGUAGCCACACUCGAUUCAGCUAAAGUGAGAGAGAUAGACACCCGCCAGUCACCUUUAAGCACAAGUGCUCGUAACGGUGAAACCAGUCUCGCGUAAGCGUACGCGUAAUGUCGGUCCGGGCCGCUUCAUCUCACAAUACCGCCGAACCAAAGUAUGACAUGCUGGUAAGCAGUAUGACUUGUAUCGCCCACAACUCACUUGUGUUCUACUCAUGCAUAUAACAUCAACGCAUAAAACCUAGGCUCGGAUGCCACUAUUGGGGAAUGUAGUAAUUUCAAAAAAAUUCCUACGCACACGCAAGAUCAUGGUGAUGAUAUAGCAACGAGAGGGGAGAGUAUAGUCCACGCACCCUCGUAGACCGUAAGCGGAAGCGUUAGAACAACGCGGUUGAUGUAGUCGUACGUCUUCACGGCCCGACCGAUCAAGCACCGAAACUACGGCACCUCCGAGUUCUAGCACACGUUCAGCUCGAUGACGUCCCUCGAACUCCGAUCCAGCCGAGUGUUGAGGGAGAGUUCCGUCAGCACGACGGCAUGGUGACGAUCUUGAUGUACUACCGAUGCAGGGCUUCGCCUAAGCACCGCAACGAUAUUAUCGAGGUGGAUUAUGGUGGAGGGGGGCACCGCACACGGCUAAGAGAUCCAAAGGAUCAAUUGUUGUUGUCUAGAGGUGCCCCCCUGCCCCCAUAUAUAAAGGAGCAAGGGGGGAGGGGGCGGCCGUCCUAGUAGGGGCGCGCCAAGGGGAGUCCUACUCCCACCGGGAGUAGGACUCCCUCCUUCCUUGUUGGAGUAGGAGAAGGGGGAAAGAGGGGGAGAGGAGGAAGGAAAAGGGGGCCGCACCCCUUGUCCAAUUCGGACUAGAGAGGGGCUGCGCGCCUCCUUCCUUUCGGCCUCUCUCCUCUAUUCCCGUAUGGCCCAAUAAGGCCCAUAUACUCCCCGGCGAAUUCCCGUAACUCUCCGGUACUCCGAAAAGUACCCGAAUCACUCGGAACCUUUCCGAACUCCGAAUAUAGUCGUCCAAUAUAUCGAUCUUUACGUCUCGACCAUUUCGAGACUCCUCGUCAUGUCCCCGAUCUCAUCCGGGACUCCGAACUCCUUCGGUACAUCAAAACUCAUAAACUCAUAAUAUAACUGUCAUCGAAACCUUAAGCGUGCGGACCCUACGGGUUCGAGAACAAUGUAGACAUGACCUAGAACUAUUCUCGGUCAAUAACCAAUAGCGGAACCUGGAUGCUCAUAUUGGCUCCCACAUAUUCUACGAAGAUCUUUAUCGGUCAAACCGCAUAACAAUAUACGUUGUUCCCUUUGUCAUCGGUAUGUUACUUGCCCGAGAUUCGAUCGUCGGUAUCCAAUACCUAGUUCAAUCUCGUUACCAACAAGUCUCUUUACUCGUUAUGUAAUGCAUCAUCCCGUAACCAACUCAUUGGUCACUUUGCUUGCAAGGCUUAUAAUGAUGUGCAUUACCGAGAGGGCCCAGAGAUACCUCUCCGACAAUCGGAGUGACAAAACCUAAUCUCGAAAUACGCCAACUCAACAUGUACCUUCGGAGACACCUGUAGUACUCCUUUAUAAUCACCCAGUUACGUUGUGACGUUUGGUAGUACCCAAAGUGUUCCUCCGGUAAACGGGAGUUGCAUAAUCUCAUAGUUACAGGAACAUGUAUAAGUCAUGAAGAAAGCAAUAGCAACAUACUAAACGAUCAAGUGCUAAGCUAACGGAAUGGGUCAAGUCAAUCACAUCAUUCUCCUAAUGAUGUGAUCCCGUUAAUCAAAUGACAACUCUUUUGUCCAUGGCUAGGAAACAUAACCAUCUCUGAUAAACGAGCUAGUCAAGUAGAGGCAUACUAGUGACACUAUGUUUGUCUAUGUAUUCACACAUGUAUUAUGUUUCCGGUUAAUACAAUUCUAGCAUGAAUAAUAAACAUUUAUCAUGAAAUAAGGAAAUAAAUAAUAACUUUAUUAUUGCCUCUAGGGCAUAUUUCCUUCAACUAAUUCUUCAAUUAUAUAUGCUCAUUGGUUUCUUUUCUGGAAUAUCAUAUAUAAUUUCCAGUUACUAUGUGUAGCCAAUUCACAACUCUGUAUAAGAAUAUUGUAUGAGAAUAUUCAUAUUUUGAGCAUUUUAAUUUCUUGCAUACUUCUAAUGAUUACACAAAUCAGUUUUUAUGCACCCACUCAUUGGAUUUCAUUAGAUUUUUUAAAGGUGUACACCUUUACCACAUGGAUGAUGAAGUUUAUUUUACAUGGAAAAUGGAGCAAGUUUGUGCUUGUUUUUUUGCUUAUUUGCUCUGCAUUGUCCUCUUUGUUAAGAAAUAAAUAGAAGAGAAAGUAGUAUGUGCUUUUCUAAACAUCUAUACUACUGAAGCACCUUUUCGGUGAGAUUUAAUAUAGCUGUAUUUGUACUACUUUUUGACGAGGGAUAUAACAUGAGAGCUCCAGUGUUGAAACUUUUCAAAGAGACAAAAGUUAACAUUUACAAGCAAACUCUGCUUUUCUACCAUAUUUUGUACGCACACCUUAAAUCCUUAAUAUGUACUUUUCUUCUUAAAACAGGUUCUUUGCAAAAUCAGUUUUGUUGUCUUCUGUUUCAUGUGAUGCGAGAUAAUAUUUUGUUGCAGUGUUGAUCAUAUUUUACCUUUUCCUUUUUGUUUGGAGAAAGAUGUCUCCCUUUCUUACAAAUAUGUUAUUUCUUAAAUAGAACAAUAGUCACCAUACAAGGUUCUUCCACCAAAAAAUGUUUUUAUGUGUGCAGCUAAGAUUGAUUUCUUGCUGAUUGGUUGUUCAAUCUUAUUCUGCAGAACCCGCAUGAGAGACAAGAAACACAAGGUCCAUUAUGAGGUGAGGGUUCUACUGCCCCAUUUUUCAGUUUCAUGACCCGGUUUCUUCAUGUUUUGAAGAUGACUGGGUCUUGCUCGCUUACGGGAUUGUAGUCUAUAGUAGGACUGAAGUAGUACCACCUGAGUUUUUAGGUUCAUAGCAGUUGAUUGAUCUUAAUGUGAGGUGCUAUUUUAGUUAUGAAUACUCGAUGUGCAUGAAUGGCACUUUCUGGUUUGGCAAUGAAUAAUUUAUUCAGUCUCGUGAUAAGAGGUGUAUGCAUGUGAUUUAAAAGAGCCAUGACAAACGAAAGUGCCUUUCUACACCCAGGAGCAAAUGCUCCUGGUGUAAAUAGUAAAAUCAAAAAAAAGAAAAAAAAACUCAAAAAAUUCUGAAUUUUUUUUACAUACUUUUGCAAAUUUGUUGUGCACGCAAAAUUUCAUCGCGAAAUCACAUUGAUGGAAGUCGUGCCAAAAAAAAUCAGAGCUCCAAAAUGCUUUUGUAAGUAACAUUUUGAGAGCAUCGGUUUUUUUACCACGCCUUUCACCAAUGUGAUUUUGCGAUGAAAUUUUGCAUGCACAACAACCAUUUAUGGAAGUAUGCCACAAAAAAAUUCAGAUUUUUUUGAACCUGUUUUGAAUUUUUUUUGAAUUUACUGUUCACACCAGGAGCAUUUGCUCCUGGGUGUAGAAACUCACGUGCCGAUGGCAUUGCCCCAAAGACUAGUAUAAACUACAGUUUUGCUAAAGCACAUCUAGAUGUGCCAUAAGUAUUGCACAACUAAGUCCUAUGUCUCUGCUCUUAUGCCGAGAUUCGUGUGAAUAUUUUCUUUUUCUUUUUUCCCCUCUUUAUACUUGAUUCAGUCACUUAAAUGUGCAAUAAUUAAAGCACAUCUAAAUGUGUCCUAGACGAAAAAGUAAUAAUGUUUUUUGAUAUUUCGUUUCAGGCAAUGAUGGUGAAACAUCGGACUUGUCCACAAUACCCACAUGUGAUAUUUAGUCAUCUUUCGGUCAUUCCAGCGUAUCCUACUACUCUGGUUAGCGAUUGGCCAUCCCCAGCCCAGAUAUGUUGAUUUCACCAUGUAUUUGUGUGAAUAAGAUCCGACAAGUAUUUUCGGACGGAGAAAAUACUAUAAGAUGCAAGAAAUCAGAUUAUUGCGGUUACGAUUGUGCACCUCGUGAGUCGUGACACGAGUAGAUGUCGGCCAGGUCGCCGGCAGAAGCAGCCAACGGCACGAUCGAUCUCCCGGGGUCCUCCGGCCAGCAGCUCGGCAUCAGCAGCCCCAGAAUGCACCGUGCGCAACGGCCAAAAUCAUCACCGUCCGUCCCCGCUCGCCCGGCCCGGUGAGCAGGAGAUCGCCUGGCCAGCGCGCGGCCACAUCGGCGAGCCACCCCACACGCGGCCAUGUGGGCUGCGGCCGCGACCCACCCCGUCGCCCUCGCGGCUCAUCUCCACCGCGCGGAAUCCACCCGAACUCGGCAAAAAUCCCAGGCUUCACCACUCCCGUGGCCAGCGCGCGGCCACCUCAGCCACCCCAUCCGCCCGCCUCGCGCCCCGCGCGCCAAUGGCGACUCGGCAUAAGAUUCCCCGGGAUAAGGACCCGAUCGCGCCCGCCUCCUAUUUAAACGCCGCGCGCUCCCGCUUCACUCCACAGCACCAACGACCACCAGCGCCUCCCACUGCCAGCCUCAGCUCACCCGAAGCAAAGCUAGCGAGUAGCACGCAAUGGCGGGCGCGACCAUGGCGCUCUCCUCCCCGGCGAUGGCGGGCACCCCGGUGAAGGCCUCCAGGGCGGCGCCCUUCGGCGAGGGCCGCAUCACCAUGCGCAAGACGGCGGGCAAGCCCAAGGUGGCGGCGUCCAGCAGCCCGUGGUACGGCUCCGACCGCGUGCUCUACCUCGGCCCGCUCUCCGGCGACCCCCCGAGCUACCUCACCGGCGAGUUCCCCGGCGACUACGGCUGGGACACCGCGGGCCUCUCCGCCGACCCCGAGACCUUCGCCAAGAACCGGGAGCUGGAGGUGAUCCACUGCCGCUGGGCCAUGCUCGGCGCGCUCGGCUGCGUCUUCCCGGAGCUGCUCGCCCGCAACGGCGUCAAGUUCGGCGAGGCCGUGUGGUUCAAGGCCGGCUCCCAGAUCUUCAGCGAGGGCGGCCUCGACUACCUCGGCAACCCCAGCCUGGUGCACGCGCAGAGCAUCCUCGCCAUCUGGGCCUGCCAGGUGGUGCUCAUGGGCGCCGUGGAGGGCUACCGCGUCGCCGGCGGCCCGCUCGGCGAGAUCGUGGACCCGCUCUACCCCGGCGGCAGCUUCGACCCCCUGGGCCUCGCCGAGGACCCCGAGGCGUUCGCGGAGCUCAAGGUGAAGGAGAUCAAGAACGGCCGCCUCGCCAUGUUCUCCAUGUUCGGCUUCUUCGUGCAGGCCAUCGUCACCGGCAAGGGGCCCCUGGAGAACCUCGCCGACCACCUCGCCGACCCCGUCAACAACAACGCCUGGGCCUUCGCCACCAACUUCGUCCCCGGCAAGUGAGCGCGGUCAGCUCAACCUCUAGGCCGACAACUUCAUGGCUGAUGGAUGCUGCUGCAUGUGUGUCGUCGUCGAUCUCUGCUUCUUCCCGUUGUGAGAUUGAGUAGUCCGGACUGAUAGAUGUUGCAUGUGAGGGCGAGUCGAGAUGAGGAGUUGGUGUGUGUACACUAAGAUGGUGUUUGUGUAAUAUCUGGCUAUUUUCUCAGAUUAAUCAAGGCAUCUCUGUUCUUCUGCUUAACUUCUUGGUUUCUCUGAACUUCUGAAUGUCAAAUACAGAAGUUCUCCGAAUAUUUUUCUGGAAGUCCAACCAGCUAAAGUAUUCAAAUUCAUA
RNAcentral lists this long non-coding RNA (49042 nucleotides) under Triticum aestivum (bread wheat). RNAcentral describes it as "long non-coding RNA (TAES_LNC007755)". The stretch from base 27309 to 27443 matches the Rfam family "MIR1120/MIR1122 microRNA precursor family". Lineage: Eukaryota; Viridiplantae; Streptophyta; Magnoliopsida; Poales; Poaceae. The record is from RNAcentral.